RNAcentral lists this long non-coding RNA (77860 nucleotides) under Sorghum bicolor (sorghum). Its description in RNAcentral is "long non-coding RNA (SBIC_LNC015521)". The stretch from base 42935 to 43041 matches the Rfam family "Plant small nucleolar RNA R71". The record is from RNAcentral. Lineage: Eukaryota; Viridiplantae; Streptophyta; Magnoliopsida; Poales; Poaceae.
GUAGUCAGACCUUCCUAGCCCCCUUCUCAUCUCUUUCCGUGGUUAGUGCUCUGAUGUCCCGAUAUAGAUAAUCUUGAAGUAAUUCUUGAUUCUUAGAUCAACUAGAGAACUCUCAGGAAACUUCCUCUCUUCCCACCAAAAAUAAUGAUAUAGUUAUCCUUGGGCGAUCUUGGAUCUUAAUUAGUACACUCACGUUCCCUGUGGAAAAUCGAUACUCUCGAAUACUCCCGGGUGAAAGCUACAUCGGUAUCCGUGCGCUUGCGGAUUUUUCUGUUUGCGUUUAAAAUACCCAACACCGAGUCGCGCAACUCCCUCUCCUUGCCCUAGCGCCGCCGCCCCCGUUCGCUCGACAAUCUCCGGCGAUCUCGUUCUUCCCCCUGCGGCCAGAUCUCGCCCCCGGUUUCCUUUCUUCUCUCCUCUCGGUUGAGAUCCAAUCUCGCGGGGAUUUAGGGUUUCUGGGAGAGUUGCUUAAGUUCUGCCCCCAAGGUGAGGAGUCAAUUGAGGAUUUGAUCUUGAUUUCGAUUGUCUCACUCGUGCAGCACUUUGAGGAUUUGAUUAGUGUUCUCCAGAGGUUUCCGAUCGUGAUAUUUCAUCCGGAACGUGUCUCGUCCGUGGAUCGUAAGCCGUUCGCGCCCAUAUCUUAUCUAUUCUUGCGAUCUAUAGGAUUGUCUCAUCUCUAGUCGAUAUGAUUGCUUAUGUAUAUAUCCUAUCUUGUCUAUUCUCUGCAGCGCAUUAAUCUCCGUUGUCAGUUGGUUGUUUGUCGGACAUUUGAUCAGUCAUUAGUUCUUGCAAUGGCACGUUGCAAGAAUGUCAGCGGUCCGGCAGCCGGCACUGGAGGUUCCUCAGGUGGUGAUGGUGGAGGUGAUCCUCCCCGUCGCCUAUCAGCGGCAGAAAAAGGCAAGGGCAAGAAGCUGGCUACCAAGAAGCGCAAGGCCAGUGACAGAGAUGCAGAGGUGGCAGAGGCAGUUGCAGCAGCGGCCGAGGCAGCUGAGAGAGGUGGACGUUCUGGUGCUUUGAGGAUUGGGGAUGACCUCACGCCACGGCAGCGGCGUGCAGUUCUUGAGACAGAGGCAUUCCAUGGAUCCCCUCCAGGCACCGUGACGGUUGGAGGACAGAGGAUUAGGCUCGUGGUUACGGAUCCGGCUCAGGAGGAUCCAGACACUGAGACAGAGACCCAGGCAGAGGGUCCAGCACAGGAGCAGGAGCAGGAGCAGCCCCUCCGGAGGUCGACUCGCGCUCGUACCCAGGCCACUCCUCGGACUGGUACGCAGGGUCAGUCCACCUCUAGUGCUCGUGCUACACCAGCUAGAGGCACUCUAGCUUCUCGACCAAGGCCAGUCAGGAUCCACAGGGAUCUCACUCUUGUGUCAGCCAGAGAGAUCCAGCAGCUGAGGUUCGUUCCGUUUCCCACCUGGUUUCCAACUGCCAGGGAUCCCAGAGCCGGUGCCAGGUUCUACACAGUCAUCCAGGAGGACAUCCACGAGGCACUGGUUCGCUCUCAGGCACAGUUCAGGGAGCACAGAGUGAUAGACCUAGAGAUUCUGGGGAACGUGGUUGGAGCAGACAUUCGUCAGUAUUUCACCUACCUCCACGGACUCCCAGAGCUGCUAGCACUCCCUGGUACUUAUUGUGAGCAGUGGGUCAGAGAGUUUUACGCGUCAGUAUGGGUGUCUCCAGACCACAGCUACAUACACUACGCUCUGGCAGGCACAGACUACAGAGUUACAGCUCAGAGGGCCAGAGAGGUGCUUGGGCUGCGAGCCUCUCCCACCAGGAUUCAUCGGUUGUGCUACGGGAACGUCGAGCCCCCUCGUCGUCCUCACGGUGGUGAGAUACCACCGGUUGACUUCGUGGCUCCCUGUUUCUGUCCACCUUUUGGGGAGGGCUCCAGCAGGACAGUGGGAGAUUUGACUCGACCAGCUAGGAUCCUCGACUUUGUGUUGAGGAAGACUCUUCUCCCUAGGACAGGCUACAGAGACGGAUUCACUCGUAUUCAGCAGUGGCUCGUUGCUCACCUCAUCAGUCAGACACAGUUUGACCUAUGGGAUCUGAUUGUCUCAGAGAUAGAUGACACCAUCUCAGAGAGCUUCAGGGACCGGCGUCAGUUGCCCUACGCACAUUGGAUCACCUUGCUUAUACUUCGUGCUAGGCCACUGCCCUUGCCAGCUCACUUGCAGAGGGAGUUGACAGAGUCAGACACCGUCUUCCCCCACUACGACCCCAGGCAGAUGUUGAGAGCGCACCACGACCUCCGAGCUGCUCCUCCUCCUCGUGCACCACGCGGACCGGUGCCCCCACCUUCUCCUAGGGGUACCCGCAGUACAGCAGCAGUUCCAGAGACAGAGGAGCAGCAGGAUAUAGCCAUUGGGGCUUUCACAGAUGCAGAGGCAGAGGGAGAGUUUGACUUCGCCUCAGACAGCUCGGAUGAUGACUAUCAGCCGCCAGUGACAGAUCUCCCUCCCAGAGCACACGACCAUGAGGCAGGCGGUUCUUCGAGUGCUUCAGACCCUGCCCUGCUUGCUAUCUUAGAGGGGAUGAGAGCAGAUCAGCGCCGUGCAGCUGAGGAGCAGGCGAGGCGAGAUAGGGAUCAGGCUGCCAUCAAUGCAGCCAUGCAGGCUAGGCAGGAUGAGCUCCAGCGUCAGCUUCUCACCUUUCAGGAGCAGCAGCUUGCUUUCCAGGCCCAGCAGACAGCGAUGAUGGCCGCUCUCAUGGCCGCCUCAGGGAUCCAGCUACCGCAGAUUCAGCUCCCAGGCACCUCGACUGUCAGGCCACCUACUCCGGCGCCCCAGACUCAGAGUCCGUCUCAGCAGCUUCUCCCGCUACCAGCUCAAAGUCAGCCGUUUUCGACGCUGCAGCACCAGGUGUCUCAGGGUGCUAUCUCUUCAGGCUUUGAGCAGGUACCUCAGUUUACUCCUCUCCGCUCAGGCUUCACUCCUUAGUCAGCGUCAGCGUCACAGCUUGUGUGGGACUCGCAGACAGAUCCGCACCUCAGCUUCACCUACAGUGCUCUGACUUGUGACCCUACGCCUCCUCCUCUGCAGGCCCCUGCAGUCUUUACGGCGCCAGUUACCACUACAGAGCUUCUGUCGUCGUCUGUAGCGUCGUCCGAGCAGCUUGCACCGUCUUCUACCGUGCCAGAGACGACAGCUACCGCGACCGAGCCCGUGCCUGCUUCGUCAGCCAGACUCGAGCAGCCAGCACAGCCUGUGACAGCUCCAGAGCAGACCCGGACCGCUUCACCAGCUCCUGCAGCUUCAGAGGGUCACUCCACCUCCUCUGCCUCGACGGUCGAUAGUUCAGAUGAUGCAGCUUGCUUCGUGGCCGUGCCGAGGGACUCCACUGCUCCGCCUCCUCCACCGGCUACUUAGGUUUUUGGCGCUUGAUGCCAAAGGGGGAGAGAGUGCGUAGAGUUAGGAGUUAGGAGUUAGGGGGAGCUAGAGAGAGUGUUUAGGAGUUUUAUUCUUGUGGGAUACUUGUUAUGUGUGCUACUUUAUCAUGCAUCACGUUUACUUUCAUGCAUUGCACUUGUGUGAGUUGCUUUGGUUGUGAGACAUGACUUGUGCUUAAUGUGAUAUCUUAAUGUCAUGUGUUUUGGCUCAUAUUACCUUUGCUUCCGCGUUUUACUCCGAUGUACUUAUGAGCCUUAUGUUAAUAUCCUAUCGUAUAUCUCUCACAUAUUUGGGUGCAGGAUAUUGGACUUGGUUGAUACAAGCAUGACUAAUCCCGUUGUUCUUAUUGUAUCAUGCUUAUUGAAACCGAGUCACUUCAAAAAAAACCUCAACUCUUUUCAUACUCGAGGUUGUCAUCAAUCACCAAAAAGGGGGAGAUUGAAAGAGCAUCUAGGCCCCUAGUGAUUUCGGUGAUUAAUGACAUUAUUGAUUACUAUGACUAACGUGUGUUUUGCAGAGGCAAAGUCAUAGGUAAGGUCAUGGUAAAUAGGUACUCGAUGGACAGGGACGUACAUGCCAACUUAAUAGUGGAAAUCGUUUUCGGUUUUCAAAGGAUGGAUAGACAUCGUCAAGACUAGACUAGGUCUAAGUGCCAUAUGGUGAAGAAGGGCACUUAGAGUAGUUUAGGACUUUAUUUUCCUUUGACCGUACUAUUAAGAGGGGCUUUGAUCUAGUAGCUUGACUUAGGCAAGGCUUUAGGUUUAGGUGUGGUGCACACUUGGUAAACCUACAACUAGGCAGCUCAGAGAUAGUCCUUAAAUCGAGAGGAACCAACUUCGUUUUGGAGCGAUCGCGUUUCGAUGAAGUUUGGGUGCCCAAAGGGGCACCGGACGCUGCACCGGACGCUCUGUGAGUGCGUCCGGUGAGGUCCUUAGCCGUUGGAACAGUGUGGUGCUUAGGGUUAGGCACCGGACGCUAGCACCGGACGCACCGAGCAGCGUCCGGUCCCAUACCCAGGGAGGUUGCAAGCCUUCCCUGAGCACCGGACGCUAGCACCGGACGCAUCGGGUAGCGUCCGGUCCCUUGCGCAGGGAGCUUGUAAAGUUCCCCCGAGCACCGGACGGUGCACCGGACGCUGGGAGUUAGCGUCCGGUGACCUGUCAGAGAGAAGUACAGGUAGCCGUUAUGAAGCACCGGACGCUCGGUGCAGUGCGUCCGGUGCAACAUAAUGUGCGUCCGGUGACCCCGUUUUCAGUGGAAAAUGGUUGGCCGACCUUUGGACUUCGUGGAUAGUAUUUAUACUCCUCCACCUCGUCCAUGAGAGCUCUCUUGCCCAUUUGAACAUCAGAGAAACUUGUUGUGGAGCAAGAGAGUUGCAAGAGCCUAGAGAGGAUUGAAGUUUGAGUGAUUUCUUGAGAGAAUCCUUCUCUAGUGAGUUCCAAGAGUCAAGUGUGCAUCCACCACUCUCUAGAGCCUUGUUUGGAUCAAGUGAGUGUUCUUUGCUUGUUACUCUUGGUGAUCGCCAUCACCUAGACGGUUCGGUGGUGAUUGGAGGCACGAAGACCGCCCGGAGUUCUUGUGGGUGGCUAGUGUCAAGCUUGUGAGCGGUUUUGGGCGAUUCACCGCGAGGGAGUGUCGAAGAAUCAGCCCGUAGAGAGCACUUGGUCCUUGCGCGGACCAAGGGGGAGCAAGACCCUUGCGCAGGUGCUCCAACGAGGACUAGUGGAGAGUGGCGACUCUCCGAUACCUCGGCAAAACAUCGCCGAGCACUUUCUUCCACUACUCCUUUACUUUCUAGCAUUUACUUUGUGCUUUUACAUUCUUAGAAUUGCCAUGCUAGAAUAGGAUUGGAACUAGGUUGCAAAACUUUUAUCCGGUAGCUCUCUAAGUCACACUAGGCACAAGGGGUUGAAUUGGAGCUUAUAGGUUGCUUAAAUUUUUAGAGAAGCCCAAUUCACCCCCCCUCUUGGGCAUCUUGAUCCUUUUAAUGUGGACGAUUAUGAAUGUUUUUUUCCUUGUUAUUGAAUUAGAUAUCUCUGCAAUCUGACAUGAGGAGUGGGAUUUCUUAAACUGCCAUUUUCCAAGCAGGUAGCAACAGUACUAAACUAAAUCAUAUGUAAUGAAGCCUUUACCAUUCUAGUCUUUCAUCAAUUGCCUCUAUAAAUUGCAUGGCCUGGUUGCCUCCUUUCUCCAACUCGCACACCCUCCCUUUCAUUCCAACAGCAGAAACAGGCGUUACUGUUCGGUGGCAUUGCAAUGUCUUUCUUGUGGACUCUUCCUGUGGCUCACAUCUAUCACUUGACCUGGAAAAGAUGAAUUCAUUCGCCAAACUAAACAGACUGAAGUUUACACAAAUUGGCACUACAAAUUAUAUUCGUCUAUAAAAUAUGGACAACGAAUAUUUUUUGACACAAUCGGCAGGGAAGUCCCCUACCUAUUUUUUUCAUUUUAUCAAUGUUUUAAAUAGCGGGCUAACACGUUUAGCAGUUCAUGUCUAAAGCAGCUAAUAGCGGAGCUAAAUCGGGCUAUAGCGGAAUAUAGCGGCUAAAUUGUACAUGAACAUAAAUAGUGGUACUCUGCCUUAAAAGUCUAUAGCGGCAGCUAUAGCGGGAUAUUUAAAACUAUGCAUUUUAUUGAUUUAUGUACAAAGAAUAAAGAAUACAAAGGCCUUCAAGGCCCAAAGCGAAAAAUACAGUGGAAACUAGAGUCUAUUCUCACACCAAAGUUUCAAUGGGUCAGCAAUCCUCUGUUUGGCCUUGAUGAGCCUAUCUCCUCCUUUAGCAGGAUUUUCCAUUCAGUAAGAGAGACUGCUUUAUUGUCAAAAAUGGCACCAUUUCUGACUUUCCAAAUUGUCCACGCUGCUGUGAUGAAGAUUUCUCUGAAGAUGUGGCUUCCAAAAUUUAUUCUGGCUUUUGUCAGCAUCUCGUGGGGAGGGAGGUCAAGAUCCCAGUCAAUUUGCAGCCAGUUCCAGCAAGAUUGGCUGAAGGCACAUGUGAAGAACAAAUGCAAACAUGUCUCCUCUGGACUAAGAUUACAGAGAGCACAAGCAUAGUUGUCCAGAUGCAUUUUUUCCUCUUGAGGAGGUUUCUUGUACACAAACGGUCCCUAACCAGUAGCCAUGCAAAGAAUUUAUGUUUUCCAAGGUUUCCCCCUUUCCAAAUCCAUUUGAAGAUCGGUGAAGCAUUAACUUGGCCUUGGAGAUGGUUGUAUGCUUUUCUGGGAGAGAAGGUGUUUCCCCAGUUGUAUUCCCAAGAAUCAAGACUUUCUGAGCUUACAAGAUUUUGAGUUAGGAUUGCAUCUAGAUCAUACAGUUGGUCAGCAGCUUGCUCUGAGAGGGACAGGAAGAGGGUAGCUUCUGGGUCCUUUUCUACAAAAUACUUGAGUGACCAGUGUUCUUUCUACAGAACGAAAAUAGUUGUGGAAACUGCCCUUCCAACAGUUGUCGUGACCAAUUGUCAAACCAAAGAGUGGUGGUGUUACCUUUCCUAGGAUUACACCUUGCAAAACUUCUGAAUUUCGGGAAGAGCUUUAAAAUAUCUUUCCACCAGAAGGAGCCACAUGGGUUUUUUUCAUGUGGUGGUAUGUUCUCAUUACGGUAUAGCUUGGACCAUGUCAAUUGAACCCAAGGGACUGCAACAUGGUUAUAGAAUUUGUCGAGGAACUUCAUAAGGAGGGCACUGUUUUGGUUUUCUAAGUUGAUGAUGUUUAGUCCUCCUUCAGCUUUGGUUCUGCACAGUUCUUUCCAGGCUACCAGACAUGUGCCCUUUCUAUUGAUAUCUCCUUUGCUCCAGAUGCAAUGUUUUCUGAAUCUAUCAAUCUGCUCAAGGACCUGAAUUGGGAUGGACAAAGUGCACAUAUAGUAGGUGGGGAGAGCAGAAAGGACCGAGUUGACCAGUAUCAAUCUUCCAUGAUAAGAGAGAAAUCUGUUAAAUCCCGAGAGUCUUCUUUCCAUUCUAGAGAGUAAAGGUGUGAAGUCCUGAACUAUAGGUCUUGUGGUUCCGAGAGGAAGUCCAAGAUAUGUAAAGGGCAUGCUUCCAGCCCUGCAGCCAAAGGUGGCUGCUAAGUGGGACAACUUAGCUUCAGAGACAUUGAUGGGAAGGAGACAACUUUUGCUGAAGUUCACAUUAAGUCCUGUUGAAUCAGAGAAACCUCUGAGCAGUCCUUUUAGAAUGAAAAGUUGUUUAGCUUCUGCUGGGAGAAUGAGUAAUGUGUCAUCAGCAUAUUGCACAAUGGGAAAGUAGUCCUCAAAGUUGUUUGAGAGAGGGUGGUUUAAAAUGCCAUCAUGCCAUGCUUUGUUGAUAAUACUCUAAAGCAGAUCAACUGCAAGCAAAAAGAGGAGUGGGGAGAGUGGGUCUCCUUGUCUUACACCUCUCUUGCAUUGAAAAGGUUUCCCAGGGAUCCCAUUCAAGAGAACUAAGGAGUUACCAGAGUCCAGGAUUGCUUUGAUCCAACUUAGCCAGUGAUUAUUGAAACCUUUGUAUUUCAUCACUUCUAGAAUAGUUUGAUGCUCAAUUUUGUCAAAAGCUUUCUCAAAAUCUAGCUUCAAAAUUACCACUUCUUUCUUGGAGUGGUGACAAAGGUGUACGAAUUGAAAGGCCUAGGCUAGGCAGUCUUGAAUGCUUCUGCCUUUGAUGAAACCAUAUUGGUUAGGGUGGAUGAGUUUUGUGAUUACCGUCUGUAAUCUGAUAGAUAGGAGUUUUGUGAUGCACUUAACUGAGCAAUUGAGCAGUGAAAUAGGCCUGUAAUCAUCUACUGACUCUGGGUGAUCUUUUUUGGGAAUAAGGGCAAUGUAAGGGCUAUUGAUACUUGUAAGAUAAAUGCUGUUGUUGAAGAAAUCUUUGAAUAAUCUUUGAAAAUCAUUUUUGAUAAUGUGCCAGCAGUGUCUUAUGAACUUCCCAUUGAAACCAUCAGGACCCGGAGCAUGAUCAAGUGGGAUACUUUUAACGACAGCCUCAAAAUCCGUGUCAUCAAAGGUUCCUUCAAUUUGCCUAAGGUCAUGUCUGUCUAACAAGUUGUUUAAAUCAUAAGUGAUGUUUGAGAACUCAGAUACACCCAUUCUGUUUUUGAAGUUAGCCCAGAGCAGUCCUGCCUUUUGUUCGUGAUUUGUUACUUGGAUGUCUCCCCCUGGUACUGUCAGACUGGCAAUGCUGUUCUUUCUGUGUGAGAUGGAAGCCAUGGCUUGAAAAACCUUGCUAUUUUCAUCCCCAAGCUUAACCCAUCUGAUGGUGUUUCUCUGUUUCCAGUAUAUCCGUCUCGAUUCUAAUAGGUUGGCUAUGUGCCUUUUGACAAGGUCUCUUAGGGAUAUUUCUACCUCACAGAGAGGCCUUUGUUCCUCAAGACCAUCAAGUAGAAGAAGGACCCAUUCGCUGUUGUGUAGCAAUCGGUUGAAAUUUUGUAAGUUUUUUCUCCAUUUCUUGAGUCCAAUCCUAACUUGUUUAAAUUUUGCAUUGAGGGUUUUGGCAGCAUUGGCAAAAUAGGGGGUUGUAUUCUAGUGUAGUUCAACUGUUUUCAGAAAAUCUGCAUGCUCGAUCCAAAAAUUUUCAAAUCUGAAGAUAUUCGACCUGGGAAUGGAGCUGCCAAAAGAGAUGACAAAGGGGGUAUGAUCAGAGAUGGGCCUAUCCAGGGUUUGGACCUUAGUCAAGAGGUGUGCCCAGCUCUAGCUUUGAGAGCAGAAGACCCAAUCUAGUUUAACCAGCAGAGGAUCAGACUGCAUAUUACUCCAGGUGAAAGAUCUACCAUUAAAUGGGAGUUCAACCAAGUCAAGAGCAGAGAUGAGAUCAUUAAAUAGCUGCAUUUCGUUGACAUCUCCUCCUGGUUUGUUUCUGUCGUCUGUUGAUCUAUAGAGAUUGAAGUCACCUGCUAGGAUCCAGUCAUCUAGAUCAUCUGUGUCUAUAUUUAAUAACCAUGUUAGGAAACCCAUUUUUGCUUCAGCUUGAGAGGGGCCAUAAACAUUAGAGAGAUGGAAGGCAGUCUUAUCCAAUUUAUUCACAAAUUUCAUUGUGACACAGUAGCCAUUCGAAUGAACUACUGUUCCAUCAAAGAGCUUACCAUUCCAGAUGGUGAAGAUUCCUCCCGAGGCACCAGCUGACGGUGAGAAAGCAAAGCAAUUUAAAUGUUUUGGGCAGAAUUUUUUGAGAUAAAGGUUGUUAAAUAGUUCUCUUUUGGUUUCUUGCAGGCAAAGAACUUGGCAAGAACUUUCGGCUAUUUUAACUCUGAUUGCGUCCCAUUUGGCCUGGGAGUUUAUUCCUCUUAUGUUCCAAACUGGGAUGUUAAACUGCCUGGUGUUACUCAUAGAUAAACAUGGGUAGAAGAGAGUGAAGACUAACCCCCCAGAGGAGUUAGUAAGACCACUAGUAGAAAGAAGCCGAUGAAGCUGAUUGAAAGAACUAGUUUAUCUAUCUCAAGGCAGUUGGAUUGAUUGCAACCCAAGGCCAAAACAAAGUGAUUGAGAGGGACAUAAAACUCAGCUAGAUACCAUAAAGCAGAUCUCUCAUAGUCAUUCCAUACCAGCACACAGCAAACGUGUUCAAAAGCAAACUGCUGAACAUAAACAACCACAGGAAUAAAAGGUAACCAGCAUGCAAGCUGGGAAGGACAAGAGUGUUUGUUGCUAGGGAACAGAAAACUAGAAUUAAACAAAAGGUGCACUCUUCUCGUAGAGUGCAGAGACCAAGAGCUAAGUUCUUCAGAUUCCAUCAACAUCAACAUCCUUUUUGAAAAUGGCAGCAGAUGCAUCACUAGGGUGGAUCUGCAGGAAGCCGGUGGCAAUUCCUUGGGCUACUUCCAUCGGCAGGUAUGGAGCUGGUUCUGGAGCUGACGCCUUUGGGGAGGCGGGGACCAUGGCCAAGGGAACUGGAUGAAGCACAUCCUUUUUGAAUCCACCUUGUUUGAUGGCACUCCUCUUGCUGCGCCUGAGGUGACGGUCAUACACUUGUUGUUUAGUCUUGGAGAUCCUCCUCUUUUUCUGGGUGAACUGGUUGCUUACGAUAUCCAUCAACUCCUCUUCACUGAUCUUCAUUAGUUCAGCUCUAGUGGGUGCCACGUCCAAGUCCUGGUCACGGAUGAGGAAGGCCAACCAGGCCAGGGUCAGAAAGUCACAAAAGUAUGAAGGGAUGGGAAGAUCAGGGUUAAUAUCCAAAUGAUUUAGGAAGUUAAAAACACUAGGAGCAGGAGAUUUUGAGAUGUAAUUGAGUACCUUGUUUAUGUGCAAGUUCAGAUUCAACUUUACUGGUGGAACAUUGGAAUGCUCCUCCAAGAUUGUUCCAACCACCACUGAUUUGAGCCUGGGACUGUCUCUGUUAAACCCUGGAGGAAUUGAUUGGUACCUGUCUUCAAAAACAGGUGCAUCUGCCACGAAUCCAGGCUCUCCAAGCUCUGCUUCUAGACCCUGCUUCAUUCCCUGACCUUCAGCCUUACCUAUUGGGGUGUUUGAGCCACCAGCAGCAGAAAUAACAGGACUGGCACUCGGAUUAGCCGGCGGCACCGGAACUUCCCAGUGAGGAGCAGGAGUUGGGAAGGGGUGCAGUGGACCAAUAGUGACGAAGCCUUCCUCAUCUGGCAGUAAAGUGACAUUGUUUCUCUUCAGGAUGUAGCAAGGUGAAGUCCAGGAUUUCCCAUUGGGGGGCAGACCAGUGAUCAACUUGAUGGAGGAUGGGAUCUUGGCGUCAUCAUUGAGGUAGACUUUGGCUGUGACACAUCCUGGCUGGGUGUCAUCCCAACCAAUCAGGAUGCCAAACUGUGAAACUGCCCUUGCGACAUGCUACGUGUACCUCAGAUCCUCGGGGUAGACCAGAAUCAGAAUCAUGGCUUCACGAUCGAUGGGGAAGGCUCUGGCAUUUUCCGCCUCAUCAUGUCGGACGAAGUGCAAGAAGUAAUUACCAAACACAAAAUUCAGUCCCAAGAAUCUAUCACGCUCAAAAGGAUUGCUGAAUUUGACAAAGGCAUCACCAAUAGGGCAGGGUGAGAUCUCGGUACCGUACCUGGUGCACGUCGCGGAAGAAGGCCUUGAGCUCUCUGGCCAGCAGACAGAAGUCGUCCUUGUGCACGGGUGGGGUGAGCUUUGCAAUCGCCAGGUCCUCAUUGGUCUUGUUGUAGCACCCAGUGACGUAAACUUCAUGACGCAGCAGCGGGGAUGCUUGGACGUCAUCCAGCACGAAGCCCUUGGGGACGAAGGGCCUGGGGUCCGCGGCAAAGUUCGCCAUCGGAGAGCUCGAGGGGGGUUCUGGAACUAUUGAUUGGGGGAGCAGAAAGGCGGAGUUCGAAGGAGAUGUAUCCGUGAGACUCGAGGACGGAGAAUAUAUAUCCCUUGGUCGAGACCCUUCGACUUCCUUAACAGUAACAGGCCGAAACUUCUGGGACUUGGAUUUGGAAAGGUAGGAUUUUUGGGAGUGCCCAUACCGGAAGCAGAUCUCGCAGCGGAGUCUGUCGUUGCAUGAAAUACGGUCAUGGCCUAGGCCCAGGCAACGGGGGCAACGAUUCAAAGGUCCAUAACUGGGUUUGGCAAGAUCCAACCGAGCCGAGAUUUCUUGGGGAGACUCCUGAAAAUCAGCUCGGGAGAUGGGCUUCCAAACAGGGAGAGGCCGAGAUUGGCGGGAUCGCAUCAACGCAUUUGAAUUUGAAUUUUGACGAGAUCUGCUGUUCUCAGAACUGAAGGGAUCAAGCUUAUGAUUGUUUCCCAGGAAAGCAUCAGCAUAGUUCUUCGGAUAAUGAAGGCGCUUAAACACUGAUGUUCUAAUAGAAGGAGAGGAUUUGACUAUAUCAGCGUAGCUUUUCAGAGCAGAUUGACUUUUAGGAAUAACGAAGGACCUGCCUGGUCUACGAGAAACCGUGGUCCAUUCAGCAUUUUGUUCAUCAAUCCAGAGGUUGAAUUCUCUAACCCAAUUUGGGCCACCGUUGCCCCAAAGAAAAAAGAAAAUUGCAAACAAUCGGCAGGAGAAAGUUCUCAGACUUUUGAUCAUGAAACCCACCUUCUUGCAGGAAACAUGAAAGCUAAACAUCCAACCGGACAAAUGUUUGACAUGGAAAUCCUUACUACAACCCCCAGGCAGGAUUGCAGUAGGAGACUGACCGUAUCCUCAUUGAGACGGAGGGCUGAGCGGCCAAAACUUGCGACCAACUUGAAGGAGGGGGAAAGUUGGGAGGGGGUCGGACUCACCGAGCAGCCAAAGCGCAGCGAGAUCUGGUUGCCAAACUUGAGCCUAGGGUCGAAGGAGAUGUCCGAGAGCCCAACCAUGGCCGACUUCAGAGGGGGAGGACGCCAUGAGACGGGGAUGGGGAGGGGAGCUGGGAGGUGGUGGGGGGAGGAGGAACCAUGUCGCCACUUGUUGUUUCUCUUGCUAGAUCAAUUGACAACGAACCAAAUUAGCACAUGAAUGGAUUUGCGAUUUUAUGAGAAUUUCUUAGAACCACCAACAGAGAAACCUUGAAUCCUGGUUUAGAACCACAAACAGAGAAACCUUGAAUCCUGGUUGUCAGAUGGUAACAAAUAAAGCAAAUCCAUCUAAAAUCCAACAAACUUUUUUGAAGUAGUGUUCCAGCACAAUAUAUCCCCACGCAGAUAAGAAAUUUUCUCGGUGGACAGAAACAUCCUCUCGGUUGUAGCUCAUCCUGCAAUGGUUGCAGGAAAUUCUCGUGUGCAGUAGAUUUGCUUUCCAGAGGCACUGCGGGGCAGUAUUAACUUGACCAGUGUCCUCUUGAAUCUUGAAAUAAGUCUAUAUAAUAACAAUAAUAAUGAAUGCUCGAAAAUCUGAGAUGGCAAAUAGUGCAGAAAGAAUGCCAUUUGCGACUUCGAUAUACGCUACAGGGGGAAGUUGACAGCCGUAUUAUUCAACGUCAAUAACGUAACCUAGAACUUUAGGAACAAAAGUCCAUUUUUUUUCUGUGACGGAAACUACUACUCUCUAAUAAAUAGCAUUUGGGCCUGGGACAUAUAAGCCCACCCAGAAAAAGAACAAGGAACAGGCCUAAUGGGCUACCUAGCCUGUUCUGUUUCAGCAUGCAGAAACCUACCCAGUAGGGCCAAAGCCCAACUGUACCAGCAUGGAGUACCUUGCAUGCAAAAUCGUACAGCCAAGCAAAUUAAUUAUCUUUCAAACAACGAUUCAGACAGAAGCGUCCUAAAAAAUAAUUCAAACAAACAUGGACUAUUAACAUUGUUAGGAACUAAAAUCAGUAAACGAAAGGACUUGCCAUUCCAUACAAGUCCAGCUUUUUUAACAGAACAUCUAAACAGAGUAAACCCUUAAUAAUCCUGGUUGACCCUACUAUGUUCUGGGCUCUGCUUCUAUUACAUCGCCACUCCCAACAGGAAUCACGUUACAAGGUGUGUACUUCUCCAGGUCAAUCUUGAUUGAGUCUAUAGCUUCUUCCUCUGAAGGCACCAGUCCCGGUGUUGCCGUUAGCUUGCGGCCUGACAGGAGCGUUGGCUUGCACCCCUAUUCUGUAUCGAGCAACAAUCUUAUGGCUGUGCAAGUGCAGCAGGUUAAGGAGACAAGGAGAAGAUAUUUAAAAAUAAAGUAGCAAUAGCGCAGAAAUUGAUCUUAGUUGUAUAUGCAAACUGAAAGAGAAUGCUUUGGCCAUGACCGUGUAAAAGGAUACACCCAUUUCGGAGUCUUGAGGUAGUUCUUUCCGGUGGCAAGAGGGUGCAACACUGCAAAGAAGUAGUAUAGAUGUCCAACCAUGAUACCCAGAAGGCCACCCAUUAAUGGUGACCCAAAUAUCACAUCCAAUAAGAGCAUAACCCAUGGAAGAUAAAAUGCCUGCAAAAGAGAGUACAUCAACAGCUAAUGUAUUAUUCGCAAAGCUUAAUUCGCCUGUUCACCAAUUGAGCAACACAAAGAUGGGAAUUGCAAUCAAUGGUAGUGAAAUUACAUACCCUCAAUUGGACAAGACCAUAUAUAUUUAUCUGAGCAUUCGGAUUCUCUCGGCUCCAGACAUAAACAAGCAUGUUGACCAUAGGUACUCCCAAUGUAUAAGUAUUUAAUAGGGGAAUAACAGACACCACCUGAUUCAAGCAAUACAGAGUUAUACGCAAGUUUAGUAGAAGUUCAAGAAUGUCUCUUGGUUUGGUCUAAAUUGAAAUUCUGAAUGCAGAAAGAACUAUCACUGACCAAUAGUGAGAUGGCACCAAAUAUCAUCAUCCACAAGAAAUCUGCAGUGCGUCUAUCAAAUGCUCCCUUUUCCAGCAUGACACCAUACCUUGCUCUAUGUAAGUCAAUUUCAAACAACCAAAGAUAAUUUAAAAUUAUAGAUACUGUGGAAGUAACAAUAUUUUAUCAUUGGUGUUCAGCAAAAGUGCACAACUUUCACUUACAUCAUCAGAAGGCGAAUACCGAAGUUUAUGGAAAAUGGUCCCAGAAAGAUGAAACUUGUAAAUAGCCUCCAUACCUGCAGGGUCCAUUUUUCUAAUAUAUAAAAAAUGAACAUAUGGAGCAGGACUGCAGAACAUGUAAUUUACAAGUUCCAAGCUAAGUACAUGAUAGACUGCAGAAUAUAUUAAAUCAAAACAAAAAGUGUUCUGAUCUAUUCAUAGAAAAUCAAAUAUAGCAGGGUUGAAUGCAAUACAUAUAUUUCAAAACAAACUCAAGCAAAGUAACUUCCCCUUAAUUGUCAGGCAAGGUAAUCCAGCAUGUUACAAUGUCCUACCUAAUAGAAGCUUACAAUGUUUUGCAGUCAAAACUAAGUGAUACUAAUGUUAAGCUGUAUAGAUGUGGUAAGGGGAAGAGAAAACAGAAACAGAAUCUAACCUGAAACUUCUUAAACACCCAAGGGUAAUAUAAUACAAGAAAACCCCCAUCCACGAUAUGGAGCCGAACUAGCACGGUGGUAAGGAAACACAAUGUCCCAUAUGCCUUGCUUAUAGGUGGAAGUGAUUUGUAGUACCUGAAGAAGGCAAGUGAGCACACAUUCCAAAGCAGCUUCAAAGCAAAAGGACUUUGUACUUGUUUCUUAGUAAAAAGUCUCCAGAAAUUAGUACUCCAUCCGUUCCAGAUUAUACCUUGGCUUUUCUAGAUACAUAGCAAAAUAAGCAAUGUACCUAGACAUAGUGUAUAUCUAAGUGCAUAGCAAAAGUCAUGUAUCUAGAGAAUCCAAAACGUCUUAUAAUUUGAAACAGAGGGGGUAAUAAUUUACAACUAAUGCAUGAGCAGAAAUAAGAGCAGUAGUAGUAAACCAAUGGACAAUACCUUGCUCUAUUAGUUUAGGUAAUAUACAAUCAAGAUACGAAAUUUGCAAUUAGAAGCAUAAGCACAAUGGCAAGGCUAAAGUUACUGGCAUAAGCUACUCCCUCUCAAUUGCAUUAUAGAUUUGUGGUUGAUUCUGCAUAUAUCACUCUGAUGUUUUGUCUCUUCUCUUUUGCUUGUUGCAUUUGAAUGCAUGUGCCAACAGCCAACAUUUUAUAACUUUGGCCACUAAUUUUCAUUUAUUCAUAUUUUUCACAUACAAAUGAUUUUAGUUGAUGCUUCACAGAAUAGUUUAAUUAUUUUGGCCAGCAUAUAAUUAGAACAGGUAAGGAUCAAAGGGUGCACAAUGGAGACUGCUAAUAGUCAAAUUGGCAAUUGAAGCGGAAUGGAGGUGAUUGCCUGCUCAAUUGAUGUGUUUGGUGAAUGGACAGUGGACACUAUAGAGGAUAGAAGAUGAGUACAAAAAUCAUGAGUUCAUAAACUGGCUCAAAAACCCAUAUCAGAACCUCAUGCCUCAAUUAACAAAUUCAAAUAGGAAUAAUUUAGCAGAGCUAAAGGUCACAGGGUCAGAAAAACAGGCCAAACUGGUUCGAUCAUUUCAGCUGGUACAAAAAUGGUGACAGUUUCAGAUGACCAGAUCUACGGAUUUUAACAACCGACAAAAACAUCUUCAAUCAAAUUAUUUUGUUGAUUGGCAGAGUAAUCACCAGUAUCAAGGGCCCUAUAAUCAAAGAACAUCAAAGGGGUGUCUUCAUGAUAUAUUGUACUGUCAAUGAUGCCCCAGCAAAAGCAAAAGAGGAAAGAAAAAAACGAGUGGCGUUUGUAGAUUUCGACAACAGCAAAGUGGCAUAAUAUUAUUAGUAAUUUAUAGAAUACCUCUAUGCAUCAGGUGAUGCACACUCCAGUUCUUCCUUUUGAAAUAAACUAAUCGUGAAUAAUGCUUCAAAUACCCUUGUUAAGGAACCAGGAAUCAUUUUUCGCCAAAGACACUAAGUAUGCAGCACAAACAAUCAUGGAACUAAAUGAUAUAAAAAUCAUCUGUAAGAACUACAUAUUAACAUUGUCAUCACUGACACGUCCAGAUAACCUUCCAGCCCAAGAUCACAAAGUCUGAAGUGCAUGGAAAAUAUAUUGUUAAUUCAAACUUGAAUGAAAAUGGAGCCUGUAAACAACCAAUUCAGGUGCUAGAAUUUUCACAGGAAUAAAGGCAAGUGGUGAAUCAACUUCGCCUCUAAGUUGAAAGACUAUUUAUCAUGAGUGAUAACUACCCUUCAUCUUGUGACAGUCCAAACUCGCAGUACAAAUCCGGAUGAUAUGUAUAUAAGGCUGUACCAGUCCAGCAACAUACAGAUAAUAUCACUAUAGCACCGAUGAACAUGAACCUAUCAGCUAAAAAUCCGCAACCAAUUUCGAAGCCGAACCCUAAGGUACCAAAGAGGCGCCACGAAUCCGCAACCACAGCCCUCUACUGUCGCAACCACAGGAUAAGCCCACACUAUUCUGAUUUAAAAAAAUGAGAGAAUCCAUCGAUUACUGGGAACAGUUCAGCUCGGAUUCCUCUAGAGCAAUCCCCAACCCGAAUCACGGGACGGAGCCUACCAUACGACAUCUACGCGUCGGAAUCUGAGAUCGAAGCUCGGAAUCAGAUGAAACCGCUGUAAGAGUCGAGGGGACUCACUCGGCGGGCGAAGACAUCUUCACGCGUCGAUGGAUCCGAUCCGAGGCCUCUUCGACGUUCCCCUGGUCUAGUCUUCUCCUCUCGCGUCCGCUUCCUUGUUCUCGUCGUCGCGUUCGAAGCUUGGGACGAGGAGGAGGGGGGGAAGAAGAGCUGGGGUUGAAACCGAGGUCGGCCGCGCCUGCGGGAACCUUCCGGAGGAGAGAAGCAAACGCACCGUUGAUCUGCGAUCGGAGGGACGAAGAUGGCUGGACACGUAGGUGUGCGCGCUCCGGCGCAGGCGAUUGGUCGUGCUACGCGGCUGGAUGCUGAGGUGGCCUUGGUCGUGCUACGUCGAACUGAGACGGAGUUUGGAUUAGAACGUUGCAGAGCCUGAUCUACAAUAGUUAGCCCUUGUUUAAAUGCACCCAAAAAUCCAAAACUUUACAAGAUUUUCCAUCACAUCGAAUCUUACGACACAUGAAUAGAAGAUUAAAUAUAAAUAAAAAAGAUAAUUAAUUACACAGUUUAUCUGUAAAUCACGAUACAAAUCUUUUAAGCCUAGUUACUCCAUGAUUAGACAAUGUUUGUCAAAUAAAAACGAAAGUGCUACAGUGUCAAAAUCCAAAAUGUUUUUUGAUCUAAACAAGGCCUUACUUCCUCAACGUAUUAAUCAAUUUGCCUUUUCACAGCUGCAUCGAGCAUACCUAAGUUAGAAUCGUUUUUUGGAUUCUCAACAACAAUAACGAGUUGUUUGGUUAUAGAAACGAAAAUGAAAUAGAAUUAAGGUGAAAACUCUUCUUUCAGGCGACGUACUGUUCAUCUUCCUUCAAUUCUCUCGCCAUGGCGUCCGUACCAACUCGCUCCUUGCCUCUGCUGCUGCCCACCGCCCUACCAAGGCGUAGUACCAUGGAGCUUUGAUGAGCCCCUACUUCGCUCGUGAUGGUCUCCCUCUUCCUCUACCCCCCCCCCCCUCUCUAGGCACCGUUUUCUUCUCUAAUUCUGGCGAACCACCAUGACGCCCCAUCCAACCUGGCCUGAGCGCCUCCACUAUCAGCCACCAGAUCCCCUAAACCGUCCUCCCCAUCACACUGUCUGGUUGACCCUCCUCCCCCAAACUUUCCUUUAUAAGCCCACUAGAGUUGUGAAAGAUGAGAGGAAGAGCUCAUCGAAACCCUAACUCUUAGAUCCACGAAGAGCAGGAGGAGGACAUACCUCGUUGGAUCCACCAUGGCCGCUGCCGGAUCCGCUCACCGGAGUUGGGGAGGUCGCCGAAUUCCUUGAUGGGACGUGGGGAGGAGGUCGCUGGGUGUCGAGGGGGAGAGAGAGAGAGAGAGAGGUGCGAUCGCCAAGCGCCAGAGGGAGAGAGGGAGAGAGAGAGAGAGGUGUGUGGUUGCCAAGCGCCAGAGAGAGAGGUGCAGACAUGGAGUAACGCGGGUCGGGGCGUCGCCUGAAGGAUAUCCAUAUCUUAGGCAACUGAGAUACAAGAAACGUAUGGAAUUAAAGCUAUGGACGUUACUGCCAGCCAUAGCAUUUGAAGUACUUUUAUUCCAAUUUACGAUAUUGUAAUACAAACCAAACAACACGUAAACAACAUUUAGAAAAAAGGUUUUCUCUCGGUUGGUAGGCCGUCCCUAAUCAUACUACUAGAUGUCUAGAUAUAAUGCUAAUACAUACAUAUUAUUUAAAACACCAUUUUUUACAAACAUGUCUUCAAAAUAGCAUUUGACGUUUAUAGCAAUCCAUCGCUCUUGGGUACCUAUGCCUAGAGUCCGCAUGACCCAUCAAACUCUCCACUGAGAUGGUCUGACACCUAUCUUGUAGAUAGGGUUCGAUGUUCAUAGAAUCUUCUUCUCUUGCAUUUUCUUCGUGAUCCUUGCGUAUGGCUCGGUUCCAAACUUGUGGCUUGGACUUUGCUUGAGCUUCUAUGUCUUUAACAUGUCUUAUAAUGUCUUGCUUGAGGUAUUGAUCAUCUAGAUCACAACAUCGCCUAAAUCCAAGCCACCUUUGCACCCUAUUGAACUACAAAACAAACACUUAUAAGUUCAUUAGUCCUACUUGGUCAUGUUGAUCGUCAAACACCAAAAUCCAAAUUAAAUGGGCCAAGAGUUCAUUUUCCUUAGAGGCCUAAACCUAAGUUGCCUCAUGGUGGAUUCGAACUUUGUUGUACUAACUCGAGCAAUCCCCGAUCCAAGCCGUCCAUACUUUGCGCCUCCACGACUCUUGCUCGGUUUGACACUCUGUGGUGGUUGUUGUUGCCCUUGCUUUGUUCCACACGAAAUGUUCAUGUUUGCAUGGUUGCAUGGCUUUGCACACACUAGACAUACACUCAUGCUUAGCAGAUCCGCCCUACAUGGCCACCAAUGUGGAGAAGCCCCAUGGAGCAGGCAUGACUGUAGCAAGAAAUAAAAGGUGUACUCUCUCUAUCCCAUAAUAUUUGAUCUUCCAGCAUUCAAAAUUUAUCCCAAAAUUAGUUGUCAUACUCGCUUCACAAUACACCUUUAUCUUUUCCCAUUAUUUCACUAUCUGUAUCUUUCCCCUUCUUGUCUCCUAUGCACUAUACUUUCUUCACUCCUUAGUUCUAGGGCCCAAAGCUAAAAUCAUCUAUUAUGGGAUUUGGGGAGUAAGUCAUAAACCAAAAACAAACUCGUUUGCCUUUUUGUUUCGAGUGAGACAAAGUUAUCUUAAUAAAUAGAGUAUUCCUUAGAGCAUCUCCAAGAGUUUUGUAUUUGGACUUUGCAUUCUUGUAAUUUGCCAAAAAUCAUAAAAAGAGGUAUCCAAUGAUUUUGCAUUUGGAGUUUGCAUUUUGGGUAACUUGGCAAAUGAGAGAGCAAGCUUGGCAUAUAUGCCAAGCCGCGCACGGCUUGGCAAAAGACCGAUCGCGCGUGUCUCCCGGUCCCCCACGCGACCUGGACUUUCUUCGCGCCAUAUAUCGUGAUCGCGAGCAACACCAUCGUCGCCGUCCGCUACAGAACUCACGAGGGAUUCCAUCACGACAGUCGGGCUGGCACCGCGGCGGCACCUGCAACGAGUCUGAUACGAGUCGUCGCGGAGGCACCUGCAUCGAGCGGUGGGGAGCAGGAAGAACUGACGGCACGAACUGUGAGAAAAAUGCGAGAACCGCGGUGACUUUACGCGCGGGAAGACGAUCGCGAGCGCACGCGAAGGAAAAAAAUCACAGCCGGGUCCACUUUGGCUAAUUGUGAACUCAAUUAUGCAAAACCCUUGGAGAUGACCUAUUUUAAACUUUGCAUUUUGUUUUAGGAGUUUGCAAACAACAACAAAUGCUAACUCAAUUAUGCAAAACUCUUGGAGCUCUAUAGCAAACACUACUAAGGUUCCCUUUGAAUCCUGGUGGAUCCUAAAAAUUUAGAUUAAAAAUCUAGUGCAUUCAUUGGAUUUUGUAUGUACGUACUAAAAUUCAGUAGAAUCUAGCAUGUUUGGAUGAUUUUUUUUAAAAUCUAGAACAGAGCCUAAAAACAAGAAUAUCCGUCUUUCAAAUUAAACACCACCUUUAAAGUAGUGACUAGUGAAAUCCGCGCCAUCGCGCGGUCAGGUGAGUAAACACACUUAUGUUAUACACAUGCUGCUAAUGCCCAUAAUGAGACCAUGGUGAUGGAGAUAUACAUGUACACGAUGCGUAUAGUACAUGUGUAUAGGUAUAUGCAUACGGUACAAUGUGCAGGUAAAAAUUACAUAUACUGGUAGUUUACUACGUUAGGUGGAAGGACUUGGUCUAGUUCUUCUAUGCCUUCACAAACAUUUCGAUUCGUAGGGGUCAGCAAAUGAAUCAGUGAUCUGCCAACUGGACGAAUCUGUUCACAUAGCAUGAAGUUGUUAACAGCAUAUGAACCAAUCAAGAGGGGGGCAGAGAAGGGACAAAGAGAUCAAAAAUCAUUGAGUAACAUAAAAUCUGACAUCAUUUGGAGUCCUAUAUGAAAAAUUAGAAAUAUUCAUAAAACAAUGAAUAGGAAAAAAAACUAAGUAGUUCAGCCAAAACAAGGAUAACACAUUGAUCUGAUAGAACAGAGUUUUAGUCCCCUUGGUUUACAUGAUGGAUCUAUGUGAUUAUAACUAAGUUGAGCAUCAACAAAUGUUAUAAUUGAAAAAACUGAUACUUUGACAACCAAACUAAUAUUCUUGAAACAAAAUCAUAAAAGAACAGAUUGCAAAGAAGAAAUGAUAUUGUGCCACUGCAACAUGUACCAGGAGCGAAUAUGCAUAAUAGGCACAUUGUAAAAAAAGUUGCCUUUUUGAAUUGAAUUUGCUUUAAUUUCUAUUCUAUAGAUCUUAGUUGAUGACAAUUAAAUAUAAACCUCACCUAUGGAGAAGCAACAUCCUCAUUGUAGUGGAUCUUGUAAACAGAAAAUCACACCUCUAGACCAAAUUGUGGCCAAUGCAGCAAGCUACAGAACACAAAGUAUGCAUACUGAGGGAAUGGAUGAAGCAACAAACUAUACACCAAAUCGCACAAAAUCACCGGCCUUAUUGAAUGUGCACUAACAACAUGCUCAUCGGGCAAUCAAAGCACAGAUGGAAGCUCCCAUAUUGUUUGCAGGUACCUCACAUUGAUGGCAGACUAGAGAAGCACCGGGAAUUUAGCAUCUUGUAUGGCAAGGGGAAUAGCUUAUCUGCAGUGUCAAAUCAACUAUAUUAGUAAGAGAGGAAAGAAAUAGAGACCCAAAUUCUUGCAGCCUAAGUCAUCUGUUAGAACCAACACAAUGAAAAGGAGGAGAGAGCACGUGGGGACUGACCAAGCAGGAACAGAAAGAGCAACGCAAAUACAUCUGAAGAAAAACAGAUAGAUCUAAAAUAUUCGAGAUAGAAGAAGAAGACGAAGCUACUGCAUGAAAAAAUGAGGACAACAGCCAUUGGGACAUUCAUUUUUUUACCUAUUAUGAAGUAUCCUUAUUAUUGUUAAUCAUCUAGCAACUAUAUGUAUCUUUGUUCAAUAAACAUGGAUAGACAAAUCUUCGCCAUAAAUUAGUAACAAAGAGAUUCCAUGUGCAGAUUGGGAGGACACCUGUUGUUUCUUUGGUUUGCUGAAUUUGAGCAUCAGGCAGCAAUUAACAAUGCUCUUCAAUUUCUCACCAUGAAGGUCAUUUAAAUUGCAGAAAAUAGGAAUCUUGGAUAUCUCGAUGCAAACAACAAGAUCAGCAACACCACCCCUAUCUCCAGCAGUCAUACUGUCAACCUCAUCCAUGAUUAGCAGAGCAUCAGGUUUUUUGACCUUUGUGGCCACUUAAUAUAUAAUAAUCAUCAAAAUACAAAGUCAAAAAAAACAUUCCUCAUGCUGCUACACCAACAGAUUGUGACUAUAAUUCAGAGUUGUGUUGCUAAUAAGGUCCUAGCUGAAGAAAAUGAAAUAUAAAUAACAUAUUAACAUGAGAAAUACAAAAUUAGAAACAAAAAAAAUGACAGUGACCUGAUUCUCCAGAGUAUGGGAGCAUAAUAGCAGGACGAAGCCAACAUCCAUAAUAUGGACAGAACAGUCAUGUCUCAGAUAAUCAGAUCCAAUUAACUAUGAGCAUGAAAAAAUUAUGUAUUAAGUUAUGUUAAGCAGGAUUCCAUGACAUGGCACCCAACUAUAGAAUCAUUAGGAGUCAGAAGUUCCAGUCCACCUCGUUUUUCAUCUUUAGCUGGAGUAUUGGUUGUCUGCUUGUACAGGAUCCUUUGCAAGCUUAAAUUUUUGGAUCAAAUCAAAUAAACCAUCUAUAGUGAAAAAAUGGGACAAUGCAAGUAAGUGCAAGUACGCAUGAAAAUCAAAUAAACCACAUAAUACACGGUGCAGCCAUAACCAAACUUUACUUUCCUUCCAUAACAACUGAAAAAACUACCUAACAGAGACAUGCACAUUGCCUAAUUUGACUUACACUGAAUAUUUUCGGUAUUGAAUUAGACGUUCUUAACAACUAAUUAUGUAGAGAUUUUUUUUAUUCCCCCCCGGCUACUUGAUGGCAACCGGAUUAAGGUGGACAGCCAUCUCCUAUUGGUCAUUUUGUGCAAAAAUAAUUCCAAUUAGGCCAUUGUACUAUCUAUUGCAUAAAUUUAUAUUUUCUAAGUAAAGUUGAAUCUCUAAAAUUCUCUGUAAUCGCAGUAAUUAAUGGAUCUCUAAAAUUGUCUGUAAUCAUAGUAAUGUACCUCAACCAAACUGUGGAAUCAGCCAUAGGAAAUAACAGGAAUUAUACACAUGUUGUCUUGAACAUGCGGAAACUCCCUUCCUUUGUACCUGAACAAUCAUAGACGAGGAAGGGAAGAAAACAAGCUGAAAUCAAUCCUGAAAAACAAUAACGAAACCAGAUCAGAGGAGGUAACAAGCAUGUAACCAAUUUGUAGCACGCGUAUAGGUAGCUAGGGUUUUGGCAACCAGAGGAGCGCCCGUUCCUCGGCAGGAGAAGGCAUUGAGGAUCCCACGCGAAUGAUGAGGGAGAGGGAGGUGGCCACCAGGCCCCAACCGCACUAGCGCUCUGCCCGCAGGGGCCGCCGUCUCGUCACGCCUGCCGCCGCCUCGCGCCUGCUGCCGCCUCGUGCGAGAAGGGUAGAUAGAGGAAGGGGAGGGAGAAACAGAGAUGAGAGGCAGCCGAGGGAGGGCGGCGGAGGAGGAGGGCCGACGCCGACGCCGACGCCGGCUUGUGCCGCGCCAUCGCCCUGCCCGCAUCGGAGAUGAGGAGAGCGAGAUAGAGCGAAGAGAGAGAGGAGGGGGUGAGAAGCUAGAUGGAGAAGCGGAAGUUGGGAUAUAUAUUUGCCUCUGUAGAUUCGGAAGAGAAGCAGAGGAAGCAGGGGGGAAACGGAAGAAUCCAACGAGAAUCAGCAGAAUUGGCUUCCGAUAGAAUCCGCUUCAAAAAAUCGUGGCCAUCCGAUGAGAGAUCUGAUGGCCAGGAGAAUUCCGGGCGACAUGGCCCCUGCUUCUCUAACUGGAAUCUGUCGGAGAAUUUAGGGGAGAAUUAUACAGUGAUGAGUAGGAUCAUAAUACUAGGUCCUUUUACGGAAAAGAGAAAAACAAGACUAUAGUAGAAAGCCCAACACGAGGGCUGCGCUGCUGUACUCCAUGCUUGUGUUAACUGAAAGAUUCGGUUAUCCGUUGUGUGCUAACGUGUUAUUGUAUAUUCAGGUAAUUAGUAUUUUACCUUUUUCAUGUUUUAUUGUUUUGAUUGAUUGAUUUUGUUACUCCAUUUGUCCAAGUAGUAUAAAACAUUACUAGUAUGGAGUAUUAUUUAUGAUAUUUAGGUAAUUAGCGUUUUUGUUCUUUUUAAGUGUUGGCUUCGUACCGCUUUUGUUUGGUUCGAUAAUGCAUUUGAGGAGAGGCUCGCCCUCGGUUCCUCCUGUUUUUCGGGGAAAAAAACGGAUAUCAUACAAGUUUGAUGAUAUUCGUUAUGAAAUGUACCUUUUACAUCUGAAACACAUAUAACUGCCAUUAUUUAAAUUAGAUGUAAGAUUACAUUUGUGUUUUUUUUUUGACAGAGAUAGAACACGUUUUCAAUUGAUUGAUUUGGAUUUUCUUGCUGAGCGUUUGCAGCUGAGGCUGUUGGUCAAAGAGAAUGGAUCUAGUACGUGUACAGUGCGCCACGGCAGGGUGGCUGACUGGCUGGUUGAUCGAUGGUGACUCACACGUGACGGGAGUGACGCGACCAAAUAUUUUCGGUUUUGAUUUGGCCGUCCUUGUUGUCCCAGCCCUUGCCUUUGCCAUGUGCCGGUGUCAUGCUGCCAUGCCGGCCGGUGCUUCUUGAUCUUAUCCCAACCGCGCGUGCCGUCCGGACCACGGCUGCCGCGGGCACCAGCAAAACUGGGCGGUCCUCCGAGAAAACCACGUCCCCGCGCGCAACACCAGCGGCCGUUCGCUGAUUCCGAUUCCGCCGCGCGGAGGGAGAGCGCCAGAGCGGCCCGUGCCCCGUGAGCCGGUCCGCGCCUCCUUCCCGUCUGCUAGACCGAACCCAACGAGAUGAUGCUAAAAGACGCCCAGAAGAUUUGUUGAACCGUGCAUCAAAGUCAAACUUAUCAUACCACGCUUUCAAGUACUCCAAUGAUUAGUAGUAGUAGUAGUACUACUGUAUUAGCCUUCGUAAGGCCCAAGUAAGGUGAUAGGGGGGCUCUGACCUGUGACUGUGUGUGCGACCACAAAAGGCCGACCUCCAGCGUCCGUAAGCCCCAAGUAACAUGGAAUCCCCUCCACUUCCUUUGAAUUCAACACAAGACUGCAAAAUGGAGAGAGAGAGAGAGAGAGAGAGAGAGAGAGAGAGAGAGAGAGAGAUUUGAUUUGAUCUCAUUCAUUUUGGCUACCCCUUUUUCAUUCGUAACCCAUUCAAGAAAAAAACAAAAGGUUGUGGGCACCUAGAUCUUGCUUAAAAUUCUCGCUUAAUGAAUUUCACUCAAGUUCCUUCUUCUAUUUGGAAACCGUAUGCGGUCUCGGUGCCUGCCGCCCUGCCCAAUGAGACAUGGAACAGCAUCGUACCGACUCACAGGCUACAAUAGAAAUAUUUUUUUUUUAUUUAGGCCUUGUUUGGAUCUUGGCCGCUAAAAAAUUUGUGUUUGCAAGCUAUUUAUAUUUAUUUUCGAGUCGUACUUUAGCACGUUUUUCAUUAAGCAAAAUAAAAGACUUUGCUACCGUUAGUGUGAAGUUAUGGUAAUCCAAGGAUUACCGAAAGUCACAUCCAACACCCACACCACACUCGCAUGUGGUUGUAAUUACACCAAAACUACUGAGCGACAGAGGUGUUGGUGGCGAGGGAUUAAUUAUCCUCAUCCAACCCGAUCAUAUCCAAGUUCAUGGGCGAUCGGGUCACUCCCCACCCAAAAGAAGCUGCAACGCCUCGUGUGUGGAGUCUGACAGCAGCGCCUUGAAGGUAGCUUUGUACUUGCGCACCGUUUCAGAGUCAACAUUGGAUGAUGGUGCCACUAUUCCCAAUUUCUCCAUGAGAACACACUGAGCCUGUUUGCAAGCCAUUUAUGUUGGGCGCAACACCAUUAAAACUCAGCAUGUAAGAUCGUUUGACAUUACAAUUAGCCUUUUUCUUCUCUUGUGAAGCUUGCUCUUCUCCUGUUUUUGGCUUGCAACAUCAAAUCAAAUCAAACUGAACCAUACCAAAGCAUCUAGUAAUCCAAGCACACCGUGACUGAUGAUACAAUGCUACUCCGGGCCAAAAUCAAAAGGCAAAAGAAGCAGCUCCUCCUAUCUCUUUUUCUCUGCGUACGUUGAUUCGAUGACCAAAAUAAAAGAUCAGCAAAUUUUAUCUUCUGCUACUGCGCGUUGCUGAGUGAGGUGGGUUUUAUCAGCACCAUCUUGACCGGGCAACAGCCCCCGGUCUUGUUUAGAUGCGAAAAAAUUUUGGAUUUCGCUAUCGUAGCACUUUCGUUUGUAUGUGGUAAAUAUUGUCCAAUUAUAGACUAACUAGGAUUAAAAGAUUCGUCUCGCAAUUUAUCGGUAAACUGUGCAAUUACUUUUUAUUUUUGUUUAUAUUUAAUGUUUUAUGCAUGUGCCUAAAAAUUGACGGAGAAUCUUAAAAACUUUUUAAUUUUUAAGAUGAGGAUAAAUCGAUCAUUUCCCUUCUCGCCUCCCUCCCUCGCUCCUGCUUUCUCCGUCUAUAAAUAAAGCCCUCCCAAAACCCGAUCCCAAAAACAAGCAGCGCUCCAUCCAGUUUCCAUUAGCAAUCGCAUUCAUCCUCUUUUCGCAGCAGCAGCAGCACCCAGCAAUCAACCAAACAAAGCGGCGAUGGACGGCGGCAAGAAGAGCCGGAACCCGCACAAGGUCCCCGCGGACUACCGCAGCGACCGCAAGUCGGCCUCCGGGAUGAGCGGCGACCCCAAGAAGGGCGGCCGCGGCGGCAAGUUCACCUGGGAGGGCGCCGACGGCUACGCCGACGAGGACGUCGGCCUCGUCUCCUCCAAGAACGCCAACACCAACCGCGCCACCAAGGGUGGAGGCGCCGCCGGCGCCAAGAAGGACGACGACGACGACGAGUAGGCCGGCCUCUCGCCGCCUCGGCCCGCCCUCCCCCCGUCGAUCGCCAGCAAGAACCAACAAGUCCUUCCUACCUAGUUUGAUUCCAGUCUCAGUUCGAUUCUCGUGUUGAAUAAAUCAUGAUCGUGUGGGUUUAGGUGUCGUGCUCGCGAGUAACACUGAGCACAGAGCCACUGGGCGAUCCACGGGCCGUGCAGGGUCUGUAGAUAUCAUCUCAUCUGUUCUUCGCUAGUACUUUGCUGAUUUGCUCAUGUUCAGGGGCCUGGCCUCGAUUCGGUUCUUGGAUGAACUGAUUUAUUAGUUUCCGGAAUCGAUGCUUUCAUUCAGUUAGCGUCUCCUGCUCUCCACUGCUCAGUCCCUGCUCUGGACUGCGAAAAUUGAGGACAGAUUUCUCUUAUGCUUUCAGAUGAGGUGCAAUUACGAAAGCAAAAUUAGCAUUUCGCAACUAACUCGCAGAUCCGUAACUGAAGAAGACAGCAAGGAAGGAAUUGGGAGGAUUGCAAUGUUUUUGUUGGUUUCUUUGUUUGUCAGGGAUUCCAAUGUUUAUCUUUGUAGGCGAUAACGCUGACUCAGCAAGUUCCCCAGCCAUCUUUCUUGAUGGCAAGACUAUUGUCUGUUGUCACCCGUGCCAUGCCUACAUGUUCCUAGCAACCAGUGUGCAGACAUUUCGCUGUAGCGGUACUGAUCAAAUGGAGCAAACGACGCAUCUACUGAAUUAUUUUAACAAAAACAGAGUCUGCUUAAUCUCUGUCGCAGUUCCAUGAUAUACCAAAGCGAAAGGGUUGGUUCCAUUGUACUCUGAGCAGUUUAGUGACCAUGCCGUUCUCUGCAUUUGGUCAUGCACAGUUGCAGAGUCGCUCUCGCGAUCGUUGUCCACCACUAGGGUAAGAAAGUCAUUCAUCCUCACUAUUUUUUAACCUUUUUUGACACAGGAGAUGGCUCCCCAUUGAAAUUGAAAUAUAUCUAAAGGUGACCUGUCGUAUGCCUCUAUCCAGUAUCCACAAUACAGCAGUUCUAAUCAUGUUGUAUGGAUAACCUGGGAAAAAAAAUCCGGUAUGGUAUGGCCUCAGAUGACUCUGGCUCCUUGCUAUUUUUCUUGAUGGAGCUGGUUGCGUGAUAGAGCUGGAGCAAAACCGAAUGGGUUUGUUUGGCAGGACUCCAACGUUUUUAUGGUGAAACCAUUUUUAAGUAAAAAGUAGAGAAACUAGAGUCGUUUUGGCAAAGUCACAAAUUAUAGCUUCUCCAAAACGGCUCUGGCUCGUCUAGAAGAUCCUCUCGUGAUGAGCCAUACCAAACACCACUUAAGUUUCUUUUGGUUCAACGAAUCAUGAACAACUAAAAUGUACCAAUACAGUUUAAGGCAAGCACGCAGCAUGAAAACUACAUGAAACAAAGGUCAUACUAAGAACUUUAACUAUCUUUAUAGCUGUAUAUGUUUAUGUUCGUACCUACUUUCUGGAUACAAAGAGAUUUGCGGUCUAGUGACGUUACUCUAAAAUAUUUACUCAUGGUGGGGUAACCUCUUCUAUUCUAGCUUAUACUUAGGGACUGUUUGUUUGGCUCAUACAUGCUCGACUUUGGCUCCUUCUUCCUUGUUACUCCCUAUGCAGUCCUAUAGCAAUGAAGAUAAAAGCUUCAGCUCCGGCAUAGCCUAGAAGAGAGCCAGGAUACCUGCGGUUUGGAGGCUUCUCCCGGCUCCGCUACGAUAGCGGAGCUGGAGCCACACCAAACACAACCUUACUUUGGCUAUACUCUCUCGAUGUGUGUGUGUGUGUGUGUGAGAGAGAGAGAGAGCGCGCGUGGUUGUGAUGGGUUGGGGGGAGCUUAAAAAAACUAUGAAUGAUCUUUUACAUGCAUAUGCGUAACUCCACAUGAUUUUUUAGUUGCGCUUAUAUUCAUCACUAUAUAACUUGGGUUAAACUCUCCAUUGUGUCUUUCCAUUAAUGGACUCAUAAGUUUUAGAAUGGAAUGUGAUUUUGAAAAAUUCCUAUCUCUAUGUGAGAUAUUUAGGUUUUGUGUAAACUCCAUAGACAUACAUAAGAGAAAUGCUAUCCCCACUGUGACUAAGACAAGACUUCUGUCAAAAGUUUAUUGCGAUCUUUUUGUCCAAAUAACAAUUAAGGUGAAGCGGAUCUUUAUGAUAAAUAUAUCUAUUUUGCAAGCUCAUUAUUUCAGGUAGUCCCUACAAAAAAUCAAAUUAAUGACUUAUACAAUGUUUGAAUUAUCAAUGUAAACACUGCAUAGUUAGUUCUCAUCUUUUAGAGACUAAGUGUAAUAGGAGCAUCCAUUAGCAAAUGGAUCACCAUGAGAUGAUCAUCUAAUGGCAUAAUCAAAUCAUAUGGUUCUAUUUCUCAACCAUUAUGACUUGCUCUUAAAGAACCAAGAUCGAAAGAACUGAAAAAGUAGGUCAUUCACAACCACUAACCAAGGAUUCCUGAAAAAGUUGAUGAUUGGUAGUUCUUUCUUGAAAUAUAUUUUGAAAAAAGAACAAAUCCAGUCUUAUACAUAUGCGAGGUAGGUAAUAAAAAAAUAUGAUUUUUCUUUCUUUUAUUAGUUAGGAGACGUGUAAGAAGAAAGUCCCAUGUACAUUUUUGCAUAAGGGAAAUAAAAGAAGGGUCCUCUUUUCGACUCUAACUCCUUUGGUCUAGUGGUUGCUUUUCAUUUUGUUACUUUAAAAAUAGUUACUUUUCAACUCUGUCUUUAAUAAAGGAAUGUAUAAGUCAAGGGGAUAACCUCGAUACACACCAACACAGAAUGAACUUCCCCUUCCACAUGUAAAUUUGCAAAUAUGUAGAUCAUUGCAAUAGAACAUACAUCUUGUUGUGAGAUUAUCUACAUGACUUGUGACUCAUAUAUUUGUGCAACAAUCGUGUCAUCUGUGUUCAAAACUUCUAAUACGUCUUGAAACUAGGCUACAUAGCAUGAUUAGACGUGCAUUGUUUGAAACAUGGUGUCAUGUGUUGAUUUGGAUUUUGUUGGCUUUGGAUGUGGAUGACAAGAUGGAGAUGCAGGUGGGAGAGUGGUGUGGUAGGAUGGACCAUCACUACUACGCGUUUCAUUUUGCGUUGCGUUUCACAUAUGGGCUCUGAGGCGGGGGUUACUUUUGUCCGCUACGGUUAUUUAGGGACGGCUCAAGCCGGCUAGCCCACAGGACAACCGCUAUGGUUACUAGUUAACCGUGGCGGGAAAUGUUAACUAACCACCACGAUUAAUAUCUAUUAACAUACAUGAAUGAUGUGAAUGAUGUGUGUUUAUGAAACAAUGAUGUGAUCACUAAUAUUGGUUCGUUUAACAUGCAUGAAUGUAUAUAUAUAUAUGUUUGUCAUCUAUUUGCUGCUAUAUCUAUAUUUCCAUUAGCAAAAUUUAAAUUCAAAUUUGAAAAAAGAUUUUUUAAAUGUAAAACAUUAACAAAGGCGGGCAAUUAAAAACAACCGCCUCCAUUAAAACUUUAAUCAAAGUGGGCUACAAUAACAACCGUCUUGUUUAAUCAUUUAACCGUGGCGGACUACUUAAGACAACUGCUACAGUUAAUAUGUAUUUACCGUGAUGGUUGCCUUAUGUUGUCCACCACGGUUAAAGGAUUAACCCAGGCGGUUCCAAGAACCACCUUGGUUAAGCCACAACGAUUAACCGUGACAUUAUGACCAUGGCGGUUGUAAAAACUGCCACGGUUAAGUUUUUCUGUAGUAGUGCAUCCCAUAGAAAAGGCAGGGAUAGAAUUUUUCUCCUUUGAAUAUAAAAGUAUAGAUAUAUCUGUCUCACUCUCUCCCUAACUCUCACAUAUCUUCUUCUGUCCCUCAAUCUGUCUCCCUCACUCACACUCACAGAUCGAUCUGUCUCCCUCACUCACACUCACAGAUGGCAAACACUAGGGCCGGUAGAUUGCAUUCUACUUUAGAGUUUGGAGCUGCAAAAUCUUCAUUGGUGCCGAGAGUUUGAGCCCUGGUAGAUUGUAUUAUCUUCCAACAUGACGUCGCUUAUAGUUUGGAGAUUCAUAACCUUCACAGGUACUACACCGCUCAUGUUGUGGCGUAGCCACCUGAGCCCAUGUUGUGCGAUCGUUUGGCUUGCCUUCAUCUUUCUUAACCUCACAAUAAGUGCACACAAUAUAGCCACCAAUUUAAUAAACUCAAUAUCCAAUCAAUUUUCUAAAGGGAGCAUUUACUGCACCUAGCAUCUAUUUUGAGCCUGAUAAUUUAUUUAAAUUACUCCCUCUGUCCUGAAAUAUAGUGUAUUGUGAUUUCUAAAAUUUGUAUUGAAAUAUAGUGCAUUCUAUAUGUAUCAAUGCCUAGAUUGGUAAAGUUUAUUAAAAAGAAAACUGUAAUUUAAGGAGAAACACCUUAAUUGGUAUUAAUCUAUGGGUACAUAUGUCACUUAAGGAUCCUCUCGAAUUAUCUUAAAAUAUUUAGAAUGCACUGUAUCACAGGACGAAUGGAGUAUGAAAUAGUUGAAAUAAGGUUAGGCCAAGUCUAGUUAAAUCUAAUAAAGAUACCUAUCUCAUCAUCAUUGUAUGAAGUGUUCUAAGCGAUUGCACAACAAAUUGUAUGUCAUGUUGUAUGACACGGCUAUGUGUUUGUAUGUAGCCAUGGGUAAAUUUAAUUAACGAAUGAUCUGCUUUUUUCGUUGCCUAGUUGGAGUGAGUGAAGUUGGGCCAGGCUUUUAUAAUACUGAGGUGAGCUAUCAGAACGUCAGUGGCAGAGCUGGCCAGGCGUGGCAUCUUGGCCCAAUACAUGGGGGCCUGCUAGCGUGAAUAGUCCGAUGGCACUUCCCGCUCAAUUGAUUCUCGCGCGUUGGUUAGGCCCGCUCGCCCAAUUGAUCCCGUAUAGUAGCGCGCAGGGGCAGAUAGCAGGCGUUUGGUGCAAUCUGCCCACCUGCAGGGUCCACCUCAUUCAUGUUGUUUUCUACUUUCAUUAAUAAACUUUUAAAAGUUAUAACUCUUAAACCAAAUAUUUAAGUUAAAAUUCGAUUACACCAUUAGAUUUCUUGUAAUAAAUCCUUCAAAACAAGAUCUCACAUAAUCAUAACUCUUAAAUUAACCAUUCAAAUUGAAAUCCGAUUACACCAUCAGGUUUCUUGUAAUAAAAUCAUUCAAAACAGGAUCUCACAUAGAUAUAUUUGGAUAAAAUUUAUUAACACCCAUUUAUUUUAUAAACAUAGAAUAUUUCUUUUAUUGAGUAGAGACAAUAUUCAAGGUUCAUAGAACAAUGUUCUAUUUUUGUAAGAAAAAUAUUCUCAGUUUAGAACAAUAGUGUUCCAAUUUUAGGUUCAUAAAAUUUAUAUUAUAAUACAUAUGAAAACAAAUAAAUACAUAACAUAAACAGAAAAUAAUAUAAUCUAGAGCAAAACAUAAAGAAAAAAAAUAAAACACGUAAUAAAAAAUUAAAAGAACAUCAAGGAAUAUUUUUGAAACGUCCUAAAAUAUACUAUAGAAUAUGUACUAAGUAAAUGUUGGCGUAUCGUAGCAUCACUAAGAAUAAGUAAGACCCAAUCAUCAGUGGCUAGGUUGUCACCCCAGUUUGACACUUGAAAUGCACGGGUGGUAAUGAAUAUGCAAUGCUCUCUUGAAAUAAAUAUAGAAUAAAGUAUCCGUAAACGCACAUAUGUAACACCAUUGUAGCAUUUCACCAAGACACCAGGUAUUGUUAUUUAUAAUUUUACCUAUGGGAAGGAUAGCCAAGGAAUUAAAUAUCACUUGCAUGUAUUCUCAAGAGAUAAACCAUAUCUUUAUCUAUCUAUCUAUCUCAUGUAGGGAUGAGACAUAUGAUAAAGAUAUAUAUAAUGAAUAAUAAUGAUAAACCAUACAUAAAAUGAUAAAUGUAUCUCUAUAGUACUCCACUCUAUAGCACUAGCAUGAAGUACGAAGAUCUACGAGGAUAAUUCCUAUGUAAUUCUAAACUAUAUAAUCAAAGCAUAUCAUGAUUAGUGCAAUUAUACUAGGCAAUCAUAGUAAGACAAGGUUAUAUCUACAUAAGGACAUUACUAAAGAAAAUUAGGAACAGAGUAAUCAUUUCCUUGUAACCAGGGUCUACAGGAAGAACUACAUUCGGGAGGUGGACUACAAAGGACCCAAUAGGUUUGUCGUACCUACGAUCUACCACACGGCCCGAAAUAUUGGGUGCAAACGUAGGCAAACACGGUGUAGGCACCACACCUACACAAUGUCGACCACCCACCAAGGAUAUCAAUGAGCGAGCGCUAUACGAACAUAUGUUUGAAUAUAAAUCUAAUCUUUAGCUAACCAAGCAUAUAAUCAUAAUAGACUAAGAACAAUAUAAUUGAGAAUAUAGGCAAAUAGAGCAAAGUCAUAUCCAACAUAAUAGAAUAGAGCAAGCAUAUAAUGAGAUAAAUAAUGUAUACAAUGAUGAACUAGAAUAAAGAGAAAGAUUACAACCAAGUAUCUCUUUGAUGGAUCCAGAAACCAACCAAGGUUUGCCUCCUACUAGAUCUAUCCUAAGUAGCUAUGCUUCUAAACUAUGGAUCUCUAGAGAGACGUUGGCUUGAUUGUAUGGAAUGACUCCUUCUCUUCUAAUGAAUGAGAAUGAUCUGAAACCCUGGGGUCUGGCCCUCCUUAUAUAGCCUGGUGGAAUGAUUUAUAGCCAUUAGAUCAAACCGACUUAAUUGGACGAAGAUUAUUAAUCCUUAGAGGCGGUUUAGUCCAUGAUCCACGCCCUCAGCCCUAAUUGGCUAAGGAGGGGUGGGCGCCUUGGGCCCCUAGGGAGGGCGCCCUGGCCCUAUGCCAGGUGGGCAGGCUCAUCUCAUAGGUUGGGGUAGGUUGUGCGACGGUCAGGGGUCCAUAGCCCAAGGGGCCCAUGAGUGUACCCAUCUAUAGUACAUGUAUUCAGGUUCAUACGGUCCAUUUGAUUAUCCUGCAACUAGUCCGCUUAGCCAACGCUUCGUAUUCACGCGUGAUGUAUCCCAUGGAGUCGCGACUUCCUUGCCCUGGACGCAGUGAUGGCGUGCUGCUGUGCCGCUGCAGGCUUGCAGCCAUUCAGGCAUUCCCUAGGCCUGGAGUUCCCCUAUCGAUCAAUCUCCAAACCGUCAACCGUAAGACUAUGAUCACAUAUUGAGUUCCCCGUUCAGUAGUCUUGACCUUGACACAACGGAUGUCAGACUGAAGAAGAUAACUUGGUUAGGGCCUAACUGUUUGCACUAAUUUCUGUUCAGUUAGGGCCUAACUGCUUGCACUAAUUUUCUAAAUUUCUAAUUCAAUAUAUUUUUUGAACAUCUUAGAUGUUGUCUAAGAAACAUGUUAAAAACAAAAUUUAGAUGCAUAUUGCUAAUGAUGUCCGAAGGCGGUUUAUAGGUUUAUUUGUGGUAAUCAUAAUAUUUAUUUUACCAUUCUUUUAGCUUCUUUGGUGUACUGCAUUAUUUUUUAUGAACUAAUUACAUGUUGCAAGGAAACCCAUAUAAAUAGUAUUAUAUAUUUCAAUCGUCAUACUAAAACAUUAGAUUGUUGGGUCUAAAAAUGUUGAGACAACUCUAUAGGUGGGUGUCCCCUUGGCUAGGGGUCUUCCCGACUCUUCUAGACUCUUCUUCUUCGUAUGUGGCGUUGAUAUAUCGUUUCUCUCUAUGUAAUCAUGACAUGUGGCCAUGUGGCCUCUCUUGGUCAUUUCCUGAUCACCCCCUACAAAAAUAGAUAUUCAUCAAAACCUGUGAAAUUCUGAUAGAUAAAACCUUAUUCUAUUGUUGGUGAUUGUUUUAUGCCUUUCUUCAUUCUCUUGUUGAUAUAAAAAAGAUACUUAUCUACCGUCAAUAGUAAACAUAACUAAAUACACCAACAUCACAAAACACAUUAUAGAAUAUCGUAUAUAUUACAUGAACAUCACUAAAAACAUCAUAGAACACCAUAUGUGUACUAGGUGAAUAUCAUAAAAUACACUAUAGAACAUCACUAACUACAUUAUAAAAUAUCACAUACAUAUUACGUGGACAUCACUAAAUACAUCAUAAAAUAUUACUAAAUAUAUUAUAGAACAUCAUAUAUAUGUUACACAAACAUCACUAAAUACGUCAUAGAACAUCACAUGUAUACUGAGUGAACAUCGCAAAAAACAUCGCAUAUAUAUUAGAUGAACAUAACUAAAUAUAUCAUAAAACAUCACAUGUAUACUGUGUGAACAUCACAAAAAGCACUAUAAAACAUCUCAUUUAUAUUACGCGGACAUCACAAAAAUAUAUCAUAGAACAUUACAUGUAUACACGUCAACAUAAAAAAUAUCUCAUAUAUAGCACAUGAAUAAAAAAAAUACAUAGAACAUUACCAUAUGAAUAUCACAAAAAACAACAUAAAAACAUCGUAAAAAAUAAAUAUGAAAAAAAUAAAAGUAAGUUAAAAAGUAUAAGAAUAUAUAAACAUAAAAUAAUAAUAAACACUUAAAACAUAAAAAUUUAAAAAAUGAUGAAAAAAAGGAAAAAGAAAAAAGAACACUUAAAACACAAAAAAUAGAUGCACAAAAAGGAAAAUGAAAAGAAAAUAUAAAAGAAAGAAAAAUAAAAAAUUAAAGAAAGAUAAUAAUAAGAAAAAUAGAAGUAAAAGGAAUAAAAAGAAAAGAAACAUAAAAAUUUAAAAUAUUAAAUAUACAUAAAACAUAGAAAUAAAAUUAAAAUAGAAAAUGAAGCACAAAAAGAAGAAAGAAAAGAAAAAAGAAAAGAAAAGAAAAAGAAGUGAAGAGAUAAUAAUAACUUACUUGCUUCCAUACUUCUGUACGUGUUGUAUUGUGCGGCUUCCUUCAGGAGCACGCGCCUCGUUUCCUGCAUGUAGAAACCGUGUGCUGUUCAACUGAUGCUUUUGUUGAGAUUAAUUAGGAUUGUUAAUUAAUGAUCAAUUAAUGUAAAUCUCAUAAUUAGCAUGUGCUAAUUACAGAACUAUAGGACCAACAGGCACCAUAUCCUUUGAGUCGCUGACAAAGGAAACUACCUCGUGUAUAUAUACAAGAUUUGUUCAUCAAUACAGGAUAUUCGUCAUUUGCAUGGUUAAUCAAUCCACUUUCACACAACACGUUAUCACGCACUUGGCUCUGCCAACGCCGACGCUAGUAGGCCAGAAAGAGGCGAGGAAAGGAAGUUUGCCGGGAAACUUGUUGGAACUUUGUCGGAGUCGCUGCUUACCACCAAAGGUAGAAGAUGUCAACCCCUGCCCUUUCCAUGAACUCGAUGGUCGGCACCAUCAAAGACGGUCUGACGCUGUUGAAGCCACCAUCAUCGGUGGCAGCGAGCACCCUAGAGGCAUUCGUCGUUUUAGCCUCCAAGGUGUUGUCCGUUGUGCCCUCCACGACAUUUUCACGACCACCGCACUCCCCUCCGUCGCCACAAUGGAGUGCGUCAUGGUCGUGGACGUCCAUUGUGGCCACGCCUGGUGCCUCGCUCAUCGGGGCUGCAGUUUGCCCCCGGCGUGUGCCCGUCGCACGGCUCUGCCAUGUUCAUCCGCCCCGUAACAUUGUCGAUGCCGCUGGUGUCACCGAGGCCGCCGAUGGAGUUCUUGCCGCCCCCACCACCACUGCCAUCGACCGGGCUCAAGGUGCCAUGGAACGAGGGUGGUGACUCUAUAUGGCUGGACAGUGUGGCACCCCCUUCUUGACCAACCGCAGCAACAACACAGGGGCAUGGCCUCCUGGCUUCGCCUAUGACCUUGACACCGUCCUCCCGUCGGUGCUUCGCACCACCUUUGAAUCGCGGCUGCUCCUACGCCGAUGUCGUAGCUGCCCGCCCCGUCUAGCGCCAGGGUGCCCUCCCGAACAGAGACGCCCUCGAAGUCGGGUUUGCCUCUUCCUCGAACGAGGGAGAGGCGGCUCCCCGCCUCUAAGCAGCCUCAUAUGGGUAGGUGGGGGUAGCCCUAUCAUUCUUGGCUCGCAGCAACGACCCUUGCGACCAGAGCUUGCCAGGGAUGGGUGGUGCCCACCCUGCUCGCUGUUGGGUAUUCUUAACAUCAUUACCAAAAGUAGACUUAGUUUUCUAAUUCUGUUAACGGUGCCAAAAAUGCCAAACCUAUCUCUCAUGCCACUUAAGCCAAGUUGUCAUCCCCAGCAUGACAUGAGAGACGCGGUAUUGAAAUAUGCAAUUGCUCAUCUAAAUAAAUAAUGAAUGGGAUCUGCAAGCGCACAGAUUAAUACCGAUGUAGCAUUUUAACCGGGAAGUAUUCCAGGUAUCGUUAUUUAUAUUUUUACCACUGGAAACGGAUUAGUAAUCAUCAAUGUUGAUUAUAGAAUGGAAUAUGAGUUUGAGUAUCUAUCAUUGCAUGUAUAAUUGAGAACAGUUAUCUAACUCUUUCAUAUAGGGAUAAGUGUCACAUAAAAGAUAUAUGAAGUAAUGAAUAGUGACAAAGAUAAUUAAUAUGAUCAGCAUAACUUAGCCACAUAAUAAAUAUGAUAAGCACCUCAAUUAGAUACUCUAGCAAGUCAUUAGCAUGGAAUUAGAACGAACUAUAAGAAUAUUUCCUAAGUUAUUUUUAAUUAUAUAGUCUAGCAUUAUCAUAGUUAGUGCAAUUAUACUUAGCAAUCAUUGUGAGACAAUGAUUACGCCCAUGCAUAGUGAUAUUAUCAAGGAAUAUGAGAAACAUAGCAAUCACUCCCCUGUAAUAAUAUUGCUCUGCCAGCCCAAUACACGAGAGGGAGACUAUAUAAGAAAUCAAUGAAGCUGUCACUAUCACGAACUACCCCACGAUCUGGCAUAUUGGGUACAAUCGCAGAUAAAUACGGUAUAAGCACCACGCCUACACAAUACCUAUCAUUUACCCAUGGAUCCGAUAGAUAAAAGCUAUAUGAUCCUAAACAUGUAUAUAAUUCCAAUCUAACUAAGCCAAGUAUAUAACUAUGAUAAACUAAGAACAAUAUAAUCUUGAAUAUAAACAAGUAGAAUAAAGUCAUAAGCAAUAUAUUAAAGUAGAACAAAGUCAUAUUCAUAAUAUUGAAGAACAAAGAUGAACAAUUAAAGAAUUACAAAGAAUCCUCUUGACAGAUCCGGAAACCAAUCGAAGAUUGACUCUUUCUAGUUCGAAUCCUAUGUAGCUAUGCUAAUCUAGAUGUCUAAUUGAUGUGGUGGCUCUAGGCUUGAUCAGAGGUUUCUUCUCCCUUGAUGAAUAAUGAAUUAGGGUUGAGAGCUCUCUCCCUCCAGGGGCCAGGGGGUCUGGUUUUAUAGUCCCUCCAAGUGAAUAUGGGCCGUCGGAUCAAACCGACAUUGAUUGAACGGUUAUCCUUGAUCCUUUAGGUCGGUGGAGCGUAAUCCCGAAAGAGUGUCCUGAUUGGACUCCAAGAGGGGGCGGGCGCCCUGGUCUCCUGGGCGGGCGCCCUGGGCCAGGCCCCGUUUCGCCUCCGCUUCGUUCCCGUGGCUUCUGGAGUCUUCUAGAUGUAAGAUAAUUGUACGUCACGUUAAUAUCUCUAUGUAAUCCCGACGUGUGGGCCUUUCUUCCGUAUUUCUUGAUAACCCCCUGCAGAAAUAGACAAACACCAAAACUCGUAGAAUUCUGUCAGAUAAAACCCUAAGUCUAGAUGUUGAUUUUAUUUGGAUCCUUUUCUUUAUUUAUUUGAUAAUUAAAUUUGAUACUUAAGGACCGUCAACAAACUCCCCCAAGCUUACCUCUUGCUCGUCCCUGAGCAAGGAUAAUCUCAGCGAUGGAUUAUAAGUUGUUGAAAUGCCUUUAAAAAUUGACGGUACACAUGCUUUUAAAUAAGAUCUCAUCUCUGAGUUAGAGUAAACUGUCAAGACUUAAAACUUACUUACUUUACCUUUCACCAUGGGACUUGUAACCGUCACUUCUGUCUUGAGUAGUUAAAAGAUAGAACGGUCUAGUCAAGUGCCAUGUUUCUUAUUCUUGAUCAGCUAUAGCUCUGGAGUUUUUGUAGAUUUUCAAAUAAAACUCAGAGAUUCCUUGUAUGAUUCUCUCAGAUCUCUCUUUUGUGGUAUUUCUAGAUCCUUACCAAGGCAGUGAUGGUAUAUGCCUUCUCUCAAAGUAUGUAGUAUUUGUGGUAUAAGGCAUAGUGACAUUGCCUUCUCUCUCACCCUACUCUAAUAAGGCUUUAAUAUCUGGAGCUCAUAGGUGGGAGAUAAAGUAUACAUACUUACAAAACAUUUAUUGCAUAGUGAAACCAUGGAUCCAAAGAAACAAAUCAUAAGUCAAAUCAAGAUGUGCAUGUGUGGCGAAUGAAUGGUGUAUGGUGAUGAUGGUGAUAACAAUGGUGAAAGUCUAAUUCUACUUUUGCUCUUUUGAGAGGAUACAUACCUUUCUUGCUCUUUUGAAACUUUUUGAGGAGAAUGAGAUGCUCUGUACUUUCUUUUUCUUUCCUCUGAGGUGGGUAUUUUGUACGCCUAAUUCUACUGUCGGACACUUGUCCAUUUUUACCUCUUGUCUCACUUUUUCUUUUUCUUUCGAGGUUCCGGGCACUUGUCCCUUUUUAUUUCCUCGUAUUUUAUUAUAUUUUUUUAGAGCACUCAUCUCAUGAAAUAAUAUAGCAAGUGGUAGUAACCAAGAUAACUUGAGCAUUUAUUUCACAGGGGAAAAAUAGAAAUAUUUUUGGUUAUUCCCUCCCGGAUUAGGAGUAGAAUAUUUUUGGGUGAUUCUAGAGAUGGAAAUGGGUGGAUAUAUGUGGAUGCGUACUUCCGGAGUAGAAAUAGCAUGUGUGAGUGAACGUGCAAGUGAAUCUUGAUUUAACCACAUGACAAGCUUGUAAGGGUCUACACAGCUUGACCACACUAAAUACUUAUAAGCAGUAAAUAGUAAAUGUGUGGCUCAAAGUCUAGCAAGCAUGUAUAUAUGGCUGUGGUAGGAAUUUAAACUCUCAUCAUACAGGAACUCAUCAUGCAAUAUUUUAAAGAUUUUAAAAGAUAAAAUUCUCCAGAAUUCUAGCAUCUCUAGGAACAGAUAAACAGCAACUCAACCUUCCCAUAUCAUAUCCGUUAACAACUUAGACUUCAGAUCAAGUUUUCUUUCCACAAGUUUAGGUUUAGAGCAAGCUUUAAAUUAUAACAGUUAUGUCUAAACUUGAGAGAGAACUCAAAUUUGAAAAUUAGGCAGAGCAACUAUUCAUCAUAUCCAUGCUAGAGUUUUAUUUAGAUUCAGUUUAGCAUAGCCACUUUAUUUAUUUAUUAAGCACACUAAGCAAAAGACAUAUAUUUAUAUAUAAGUACAAAAUCUUUAUUUGGUUUUUCAUAGUUAUGUAUAUUUAUAUAUUAAUAUAGUAUAAGUAUAAAGAUAGAUAGAUAAAAAUACUUAUCGGGAUAAAUGGGGGUGCUCUCCCCCAAGCUGAAUUUUGACGUAAUUUCUUCUGAUGUAGCUAGCAGGUGGCAGAGGUGUAUUUGAAAGUCGUCAGUAUCUUGACAGCGAUUAGAAUGUCCUCCGUCUACUAGUCUUCUUAAUCCUUGAAUUCUGUGGAGCUCAAAUAGACAACAAAGCUUGUGGACUUGAUUAGGUGUUAGCAUAAACAUCUAGCCUUUAUCAUGUUGAGCCUCCUCAAUAAAUAUUACUCCCUAUUUUUAUAUUUUUAUUUUAUAAUGAAGAAAAGAAAUAUUUAUUUUAUUUUUAUGCCACCACAGUUAAUGUACUUAUGGGUUUUAUAUCACUCGUAUACUCACAUGGGGCUUACUGUUUUUUAACAUUUUUAUUUUCUUUUUAGGAUAGUAUGAACAUGAUUAACUAAGCAAACUAUUUCAAAUAUUUGAAAAGAAAAAGAUAACUACCAAGUUUACCUCUUGGCAAGGCGUUCGGUGUUUUUAAGUCCUCCGAACGGGACUCUCCGUCUUCUCAGUUGUCCUGGGAUUCGUUGAGUGGCGCAGUCGUUGCUUCCAGUGGCGCCUCUUCUUCGUGUAUAGUUAUCUUCUCUCUCUACACCUGACUCGGUGCUACGGUCUCCUCAGGAUAAUCUUGUUCAAGCUGUAUGUCUUCAGAUCUUAUUACUUCUCCUUCAUAGUCUGUCGAUCCGUCCUUGAUGAUUUCCCUCCUCUGGUUGCGGUUGUAUAGUCUUCUUCUGACUUGCUUAGAGUCUUCAACGAUAUAGUUAGGGUCAAUAAAAUAGCGGCGUACCUUCUCUGAGGGGAAGUGCAUGUGGACUUCUCCAGUUCCAAUAUAGAUGAUUGCUUUAACGGUGCUGAGGAACGGUCUUCCAAGGAUGAUGGAUGGAUCGUAUUCGUCUUCUCCCAUGUCAAUAACCUGAAAGUCUGUGUAGACAAAAUGAUCGUCUAUUUUGACAGGAACAUCAGUUACUAUACCUUUAACCUCUCGAAAUGUCUGAUCUGCCAUCUGGAGUUGAAUGUAUGUUGGUUUUAGGGGCAUGGUUCCGAACAAGAGCCGAUAGGUGACUGCGGCCAUUAUGUUGACGCCCGAUCCGGUGUCGCAAAACAUCUUGUAGAAGCUGUAUCCAUUUAUGGAGCAGUAGAUGCUUGGCAUUCCUGGAUCGUCCUUCUUGGUUAGAAACGGUGACUUUAGUCGAUGAUCUUGACCUCCUUGAACUGCAGUGACCAUCUUAGCUGACCCGGUCCACACUUGCUUGUUCCUCUUCCUCCUGUUGGUCCUUUUCCUUGGUUCAUGUUGGGAUUGCUCUGGGAUUUGUGUAGUCUUGUUCUUGAAGGAAAAUGUCUGCUUUUCCCUUUGAUGUAGAAACUGAUCUUGGCAGCACUAGCGUAGAUGACAGCUCCCGAAGUGUUUAAGAAUGGCCUCCCUAAGAUGAUGGGUGCCCUCUCAUCAUUUUCGGUCUCUAUUACCAUGAAGUCUGCUGGGGCGUACAAGGUACCAACUCGGACACAUAGGUUCUUCAAUAUUCCCUUGGGGAAACUUAACGCCUGAUCUGCAAACUGCAAACACAUGGUUGUUUCUAAUAAAGGAUAUGUAAAGAAUUUUUCAUAGAGUACCCUGGGCAUAAUGUUGACACUAGAGCCAAAGUCACAGAGUGCUUCUAGGAAGUCCACCAUGUCGAUGGAGAUCGAGAUGACGGGGCGUCCUGGAUCGCCUUUCUUGACCGGCAGAAGGUCAGUAUUAACUUCAGUGACGGGGUUACUCCAAUAGUUACCUGCAUCAAACAUGUCUACAAGAUUUGCAGAUUCUAAUCCUUCCGGUUGUGAUGGUAUACCGGGGUUAGUAGCAGGAACAGCAGCAGCUAUUUGAUUUAACUGAGAUUCAAUCAUUUUAUUAAAGCUAAUUUGAUUCUUGAUGGCAGUAGAGAAAUUAUCCAUUCUAUUAUUUAUAUUUUCUAGCAUUUUAUCAUUAGAUGUCAAUUUCUUAGAUAGAUUAUCCAUUAGCUUUCCUUGAUUAGACACUAACUCUCUUAGAGGUGGAAAAUUAUUAUUAUUGUUAUAAGAAUUGUUACCUUGAUAAUUACCUGAGUAGUUAGGCCUCUGUUGAUUCCAACCUUGAUUUUGCUGAGGACGGUUAUAAUAGUAGUUGUUGUUGUUGAUGUAGUUUACAUCCUCAAGCAUCUCAGGGCAGUGAUUGCUUGAGUGUCCAGUAUCUCCACACUCCUCACAAGUCAUGUGAGAGUCGUAGAUGUGCAUAACUUCUUUCUUAUCUCCAGCUCUAUCAUCGAGCUUCUUCAUGAGCAGGUCUAGCUUUGCAGACAGCAUGUCUACCUCCUUGAGCUGAUGUAUACCUCCACCUCUCUUGCGUGUCUGGGUCCUCUCUUUAUUCCAGCUUUGAUUGGACGCCAUCUUCUCCACAAGAGCUGUGGCUUGUGAUAUGGUAAGUGAUAGGAAUGCUCCUCCAGCUGCAGCAUCCAUGGUUUCUCGGGCACUGUUGCCGAGCCCAUGAUAAAACGUCUGCAUCAGUAGCCAGCUCUCCAUUCCAUGAUGGGGACUUUCUAGGAUAUAGUCUUGGAAGCGCUCCCAUGCUUCUAGAACGGAUUCAUCAUGUUGUUGCUGAAAACUUGUAAUCUUCCCACGGAGAGCAUUGGUCUUGCCCAUGGAAAAGAACUUAGCCAGAAAGUUCGUGGAGCAGAGUACCCACGUAGUAUUCUUCUCCUUUGUUGCGUAAAACCACUGUUUCGCUCUCCCUAUCAGUGAGAAUGGGAAGAGACGAAGUAGUAUAGCAUCUCUGGGGACUCCUGAUAUGGUGAAUGUGCUGCAAAUCUCCAGGAAGUGUUGGAGAUUGAGCACUAGCAUCUUCGUGUGCCUUUCCAUAGAACUGGUUGGAUUGCACCAUGUUGAUAAGUCCAGGCUUGAGCUCAAAGUUGCCAUCGAUCUCUGUAGCAGGUCCAGUGCGGAUGUUGUCCGUAGUGGGAGCUGAGAACUCACGGAUCGAUUUGUUCGCCAUGGCUACGAAUUCUGAAGACAAGUUCCGGUGAUCUUCUUGACUGGAUGAAGCUUCUUGCUGAAGUGUUGAUGAUCUCUUCUUGAGCUUGGUUCUAGUUUUUCUGAAUAAUGCUUCGGGAUUGUCAACAAAGUUUCCUGGAAGAUGUCUUCUAUUCAUACAUCGCCCUACAUAAGAUAAAAUAGAAAAAUAUCGGGGUAAAACUGUAUGAAAGAAUUGAUAAGCUCAAUCAUAUUAGUGAUGCGAAUGAUGACUCAAAAUUCUAUAUCCAUUCCUGAUUAGUAAUCAACCUUCCCCGGCAACGGCGCCAAAAAUGCUUGUUGGGUAUUCUUAACAUCAUUACCAAAAGUAGACUUAGUUUUCUAAUUCUCAUAACGGUGCCAAAAAUGCUAAACCUAUCUCUCAUACCACUUAAGCCAAGUUGUCAUCCCCAGCAUGACAUGAGAGACGCGGUAUUGAAAUAUGCAAUUGCUCAUCUAAAUAAAUAAUGAAUGGGAUCUGCAAGCGCACAGAUUAAUACCGAUGUAGCAUUUUAACCGGGAAGUAUUCCAGGUAUCGUUAUUUAUAUUUUUACCACUGGGAAGGGAUUAGUAAUCAUCAAUGUUGAUUAUAGAAUGGAAUAUGAGAUUGAGUAUCUAUCAUUGCAUGUAUAAUUGAGAACAGUUAUCUAACUCUUUCAUAUAGGGAUAAGUGUCACAUAAAAGAUAUAUGAAGUAAUGAAUAGUGACAAAGAUAAUUAAUAUGAUCAGCAUAACUUAGCCACAUAAUAAAUAUGAUAAGCACCUCAAUUAGAUACUCUAGCAAGUCAUUAGAAUGGAAUUAGAACGAACUACAAGAAUAUUUCCUAAGUUAUUCUUAAUUAUACAGUCUAGCAUUAUCAUAGUUAGUGCAAUUAUACUUAGCAAUCAUUGUGAGACAAUGAUUACGCCCAUGCAUAGUGAUAUUAUCAAGGAAUAUAAGAAACAUAGCAAUCACUUCCCUGUAAUAAUGUUGCUCUGCCAGCCCAAUACACGAGAGGGGGACUAUAUAAGAAUCAAUGAAGCUGUCACUAUCACGAACUACCCCACGAUCUGGUAUAUUGGGUACAAUCGUAGAUAAAUACGGUAUAAGCAAGUAGAGCAAAGUCAUAAGCAAUAUAUUGAAGUAGAACAAAGUCAUAUUCAUAAUAUUGAAGAACAAAGAUGAACAAUUAGAAGAACAAUUAGAGAAUUACCAAGAAUCCUCUUGACAGAUCCGGAAACCAAUCGAAGAUUGACUCCUUCUAGUUCUAAUCCUAUGUAGCUAUGCUAAUCUAGAUAUCUAAUUGAUGUGGUGGCUCUAGGCUUGAUCAGAGACUUCUUCUCCCUUGAUAAAUAAUGAAUUAGGGUUGAGAGCUCUCUCCCUCUAGGAGCCAGGGGAGCUCUCAACCCUCUAGGGGCCAGGGGGUCUGGUUUUAUAGUCCCUCCAAGUGAAUAUGGGCCGUCAGAUCAAACCGACAUUGAUUGAACGGUUAUCCUUGAUCCUUUAGGUCGGUGGAGCGUAAUCCCAAAAGAGUGUCCUGAUUGGACUCCAAGAGGGGACAGGCGCCCUGGUCUCCUGGGCGGGCGCCUUGGGCCAGGCUCCGUUUCUCCUCCGCUUCGUUCCCGUGGCUUCUGGAGUCUUCUAGAUGUAAGAUAAUUACGCGGCACGUUAAUAUCUCUAUAUAAUCCUGACGUGUGGGCCUUUCUUCCGUAUUUCCUGAUAACCCCCUGUAGAAAUAGACAAACACCAAAACUCGUGGAAUUCUGUCAGAUAAAACCCUAAGUCUAGAUGUUGAUUUCAUUUGGAUCCUUUUCUUUAUUUAUUUGAUAAUUAACUUUGAUACUUAAGGACCGUCAACACUCGCUGGCCUCUAUGGAUAGAGAAACAGUCACGACCCUGAUCCACCAUGAGAGGAAGAUGGGGAGGAGGGCAAUGCACACGACUCUGACCAUCACCUUCGGGGGCUCGACGACGGCGGCACGAGCAAGGCGGCGGCGGCUAAUGCGGUUUCUAACCCUAACUGCCAUGCUUAUAUAGACCGCGACGGUGCUAGACCUGGCCGCUUGGCUGGGCCGUGUGCCUAGCCAGCUCGAUGGGCCGUGGGCCUAGCCAACUGGCUAGGCCGCGUGCCGGGCUGGCUGGCUUGGUCGCACGCCUGACCUGUCGAGCUGUUUGCUCAACUGAGCCUCUUUUUUCUUUUUUGUUUUCCCUAGAAUUUAACUACUUAGUUAUUUUUCCUAUCAACAGUAGUAUAGAUUGAUUAGCAUAUGAUUUGCUAGUUUAAUUUCUACAAGAACAUUAGUUAUUUGUCUUGAUUAUUGUUGCUCUGUACUGCUAGAUCCUGACAUUGUAAAUAUAAUUGUGGUUUGUUUAUAUUAUUAUUAUUAUUAUUAUUAUUAUUAUUAUUAUUAUUAUUAUUAUUAUUAUUAUUAUUAUUAUUAUUAUUAUUAUUAUUAUUAUUAUUAUUAUUAUUAUUAUUAUUAUUAUUAUUAUUAUUAUUAUUAUUAUUAUUAUUAUUAUUAUUAUUAUUAUUAUUAUUAUUAUUAUUAUUAUUAUUAUUAUUAUGCAACAUUGUAUUUCUAUCAUAUUUUUGGAGUAUGUGGUGCACCAAAACAUCCUUUGCACCACAUACAUAUUACAUUUGUGACUUGAUAAUUUUGUUUUGGGCUAUGUUGAUACACCCCCCCCCCUAUUUUGUAUCAACAUAUUAGUUACAUUUAUAAUUUUAUGAUAGAAUUGGGCAUGUUGGUGCCCCAAACUACAACUUUUGCACCACAUACAAGUUAAAUUUGCUAGUAGACUUAGUUGCAAUUUAAAUAUACCAUCUAUAGAAUUAGAAACUUUUAAUUACUAUAGAUUUAAAGUUGCAAUAUACAUAUCUUACUUAUUUUGGUUAAAUAACACAAGGUAAUGGAGUCUAUGGCAUUGGUGCGCUUAAUUCCUUGUGAAUUAAUCAAAUCACCCAUUACUGAGAGGUUUACAUCACGCGAUUCAAGAUAAAUUUAUGAGGAAGUCUUAUCUCUUUAGGAUCAACCCCAGUAUCGAGAAAUGUUUCUAUGAAACUUGAUGAUUACCCACACCGUGGUUUUACCCAAAAUAAAGGUUUUAGAUUGCACAAGAUAGUAGAGUCCUCAAAGGCUGCAUUUAAUUCACUUGUGAAUUAUCUUGCCUAGUGACCGUGCUUAGACAACAAUAUAUUUGCCUACUAUUAAGAUCUUCUCUUUGUCUUAUGAGUUAGAGACUAUCUGUCUUGUGUUUAUCAAAAUUUAUGAUAAUUUGGUUGUAUGGUCUACAUAAUUUUGUAAAAUACUGCAAAUAAUUUGCCAGCAUUAGGGGGAUAAUUGUACCAAAAAGAAUACGAGAAAAUAGAUCGGAAUGCAGCAGACAUUUCAUUCUUUGAUCCACGUACUACAUAAACUAAACUACAAGUCUAAAGAAUUAUCGAUUUGCAAAAUACUGCAAAUAAUCUGCCAGACUUUUUUUGAUUAUAAAGGUGUCACAAAGUCUCUCCAUCCUGCAAGGAAUGUGCCUGAAUGAGUGGAGGUACCUUAUAAAACCACUUAACCCCCUAUUGGCAAAAGGAGGGGGAGGAACAGUUCCAAGAGGCAAGAUGUGAUUGUUGGCAAGCAAAAGAAGACUACAAAUGCAACUCAAGCUUUGGUUGAAAGACACCUACAUUGUCCUAUGGAUAGAAGUAUUCCAUAAUCUAGCUCAGUUAUGUGCAUAAACACCAAGGCUGGAACAUCGAAAGAUCCUCCAUCGUUUUAGGAAGUCAUGAUGAAUCUUUAACUGUAGAUGGAAUUUCUAUAAAUUUUGCUGAGACUGGAGAGUCUUAUAGUCAUAAGUCCAUAAUAGUCAACAUUUAUUUCUCUGAACAAAUUGCAAAUAUCCUUCAGACCGAUUCAGAUCCUAAGUCUACGACAAAGUGCAAAAAGCGCUCGGACUGGGAUAAGUGGAAGGAAGCUAUUGAAACAGAGAUUGCCUCGCUUAAUAAAAGAAAGGUAUUUUUGGCCAUAAUUCCAAUACCUCCUAGUAUCUUUCAUUUGGGAUACAGAUAGGUUUUUGUCUGUAAAAGGAAUGAAAACAAAGAAUUGGUGAGAUAUAAAGCAAGGCUAGUGGCAUAAGGUUUUACGCAAAGACCUGGCGUUGAUUUCAAUGAAACUUACCCUUCGGUAAUGAGCAGAAUAACUUUAUGAUACUUGAUAUCACUGACAAUACAAAAUUGUCUAUCUAUGCAGUUAAUGGACAUAGUGACCGCAUACUUGUAUGGGUCAUUAGAUUCUGAGAUAUACAUGAAAGUUUCUGAUAGAAUCAGUAUACCAAAUCCUAAGGCUCAUAACAUGUAUUGCAUCAAGUUGCAGAAGUCAUUAUAUGGCUUAAAGUAGUCAAGCCGAAUAUGGUACAAUCGAUUAAGUAAAUUUCUUACACAAAAGGGAUAUAUAAAUAUUGGUGACUGCCCGUGUGUCUUCAUUAAGAAAUCAUCAACAAGAUUUUGUAUAAUAUUAGUAUACGCUGAUGAUCUUAAUAUCAUCGGCAAUGAAUCUGUUAUUAAUGAAGCAUGUCAUCAUUAAAAGAUAGAGUUUGAAAUGAAGGAUUUGGGUCAAACCAAAUUUUGCUUGGGUUUACAAAUUGAGCACUUUCAUUUUGGUAUAUUCAUAUACCAAGCUGCCUAUGUCCAAAAUGUAUUGGAGAAAUUCAAUAUGGACAAGUCAUAUCCAACAAAAACCCCAAUAGUAGUGAGAUCUAUAGAUAUUAAAAAAGAUCCUUUUAGACCACGGGAAGAAGAAGAAAUAUUGGGACCACAAGUUCCAUAUCUUAGUGUCGUUAGAGCACUAAUGUAUCUUGCUAAUAGCACUUGACCGGAUAUUGUAUUUGUAGUAAAUUUGCUAGCAAGACAUAGUGCUAAACCUACUAAACGUCAUUGGAUAGGAGUCAAAACUGUUUUGAGAUAUCUCAAUGGCACUAGAGAUCUUGGACUAUUCUAUAGCAAAAAUCAAGAUCUAAUUUUGUUAGGAUAUAUAAAUGUUGGUUAUCUAUUUGAUUCCCAUAAUGGCAGAUCAUAGACAGACUUUGUUUUCUUGCAAGGUGGAACAACAAUAUCUUGGAAGUUUUCAAAGAAGACUUUAGUGUCCACUUCCACCAAUCAUUCUGAAAUAAUUGCUUUACACGAAGCAUCACGCGAAUACGUAUAGCUUCGCAGAAUGGUAAACCACAUAAUACAAUCAUGUGGUAUUGGAGACUUGAGACACCUACAAUUAUCUUUGGGGAUAAUUCAGCAUGUGUUACUCAAAUGGAAUCAUGUUAUAUUAAGAGUAAUAUGACUAAGCAUAUUAUUCCAAAAUUAUUCUACCCCUGUGAGCUCCAAAAGAACGGAGAAAUUGAAAUCUUGCAAACUAAGUCUUGUGAUAAUCUAGCAGAUUUAUUCACAAAAUCCCUACCAUACUCCGCAUUUUGUAAAUGUGUUGAGGGCAUUGGUAUGAGAAGGCUUAAAAUUUUGCAAGAAUCAAGGGGAGAAUCUAUUAAAUAGAACCUGUUUUCACUAUACAUUAUACUAUUUUCCUUUAUAUGAGUUUUACUCUUCUAGAGUUUUCUCACAUAAAGUUUUUAAUGAGGUAAUAGUAACACAUAGUAAAUGUCAUAUUAUCUAUUUUUCCUCAUAGUGGUCUUUCGAAAGUAAUAUAUGACAUAUAGAUCUUUGAUCAAAGUUGUUUUAGACUAUGUCUUUGGGAAUACCCAGAGGGUCUAAUAACAUUGGGACUAAUAUAUAUCAUGGUGUUUCUCUUUAUUUUUCCCACUGGGUUUUAAGGAGUUUUGUUUGGUAUAUCGAUAUACUUUGGAUUUUUCCCAUAGGGUUUUUCCAAAGCUUCAAGACAUUUACUGAUAAACAAGAUGCUUACACAAGAUCAUCAAGGGGGAGUGUUGAGAUUAAUUAGGAUUGUUAAUUAGUGAUCAAUUAUGGUAAAUCUCAUAAUUAGCAUGUGCUAAUUACAUAACUAGAAUAGGUAACCGUAGAGGCCCUUUGGGCACCAACAGGGUCACUGACAAAGAAAACUGUCUCUUGUAUAUAUACAAAAAUUGUUCAUCAAUACAAGAUAUCCGUCAUUUGCACGGUUAAUCAAUCCACUUUCACACAACAGUUUUCACUCCGGCGGUUCGGACCAGUAGAAUUCCACAGGACCUGGCUUGUUGGAGUGAUCGGUAUUAGUUAAUAAAGGAAAAAUAUAUACGGCCCACUGAGAGCAUAUAAAAAACAUAAUUGUUUGAGAACUAUCAGAUUGCCGUCUUUUGGAUUUUGGACUUGUGCUCCGUCCUAAGCGGCGCGAGCGGCAACAAUCGGAUUGCCACUGCCAAGAAUUAUUACGCAUAUAGAAACGUGGUUUCUAAAUAUCUUCCAAGAGAUUAUUGUUUAUGUUAUCUUCCACUUUUUUUAUGGUCCAGAUGUUGUUUAGAUUCGUGCUGUGUGCUCACCUUUUAAGUUUUGUGGUUGUCGUUUGUGACUCCAUUAUCCCGCUACUUUUUAUAUUAAAAAAAAGUUAUCCUACCGUUUCAUUUCAAUUUCGUGUUUUCUGGUGUUGUCGACGGUGUCCGUAGCCUUGUCGCCGGCGGUGACGGCGGUGCUUGUGGCCUUGCCCCAACGGUUACGGCUGUGACGGCGAUGGCGGCCGCGUUGUCGAUGGUGGACGCAGCGUUGUCUUCGGUGGCGGCAGAUUUGUCUAAGGAUGCAGCAGCAGCAACGGCGAUGUUGUUCGAGGCGGCGGUUGCGGAUUUGUCGGAGGAGGAGGCGGUGACCACAGUGUUGCUCGAGGCGGCAGCAGCUACGUACCCUGCAGUGCCACUCUGUUCUCCUAUAUUUUGAUUUGAUUUGUAUUGCAGUUGUGUCGGUAGCGGCGUUAGUUGCGGGCUUGGCCGGGGCAAACUCACCGGCAAGGAGCUCCACAACCUCCGUCCCUCCAAUGUUGAUCCCUGAUUUGGAUGUAGCGCUUGUCAGGAAGCCUUGCCCCUGCUCCUCCAAUUUGUGCCCUAUUUUGGCAUUACACAUCUGUGUAUUUUUUCAGUCAAAUGUGGGAUUGGUUUAUUUGUUAAUGUGUUUUUUGUCCAUUGCUUGCUAUUUAUAAUGAUUAGUCUUGUUUUGCUUCUGGAAUGUGUACGUAUUACCAAGCUUUGUUGCUGAUCACUACGGUUUGUGUGUAUGUGUGUGGAGGUUUGGAGGAGGCACAGGUUUGCCAGUUCACCAUAGUUUGCUUGAAGUUUGCUUGAGUCUGCUUUUAUUUUUCUUGAUUUUGUGUGUCAAUAGUUAAAGAUGGUAGGUUGUGCGUACAAAGCAUCUGCUCUACUGAUCCAUUCCAAGGAUCUUGUAAUUUGGUUUUACUUAGUGAGGUUGCUAUGACUGUGAGAGGAUGGUUAAAUAAAUAAAUUAAAGAGGAGACUAUUAGUCAUCCACGUUAGCAGCAUGAGCGGAUGAAUUUUGUUCAGGUUCAUAUUCUGUUCAGUUUAUAAUUUAAGUAUUAUGUAUUUCAGUUUCCUCCAUGCUAUCUACCCAAUUUCAGUCUUCAAUUGCAGUUAGCAAUUCAGUGUUUGAUUUCAUUUAUGUUUUCAUUUUCUAAUAAGUUUCACUAUAGGUUCGGGUUCAAUCUAAUUUAAUUACAGUUUUUAGUUUUAGUCAUGUUCAGGUUAUAGGUUUGGGUUCAAUCUUAUUUAAUUUCAGUUUCCAGUUUCAAUUAAUUUCAUACUUCAAUUGCAGAUAGCAAUUUAAGUUUUUUAUUUCAUUUUGUGUUUUCAUUGUCUAAUAAGUUUCAUUAUAGGUUUAGGUUCUUUCUAAUUUAGUUGCAGUUUUUAGUCUUAGUCAUCUUCAGGUCAUAGGUUCAGGCUGUCUUAUUUAAUUUCAGUAUUCAAUUUGGGAUUGUUGUGAGAUUGGUGGAGAAGUAGAGUGUGCUUGAUUCUUAUUUCUCUUUCCUUGGCUUCGAGCCCCAAAAGUCUUAGAUCAAAUUUGAGCUCCUUUUACAAUUUUCUUCUGGUUUAUCAUCACGUUUGAAUAGUCACUUGUUAAUUUGUACUCCUACAUCUUCAACUUUGAGAGCUCGGAUGACUCGAGGCAAUGGCGGAGCUCGAGUCAAAAUUAAGGGAGGUUAUACUGUAGCUUUGUUUGUUCACUCUCUACCUGCUGCAGCUAUAUUGUCAGUAGCACUGCUGCACUGAUUUGUAGAGGUGGCGAAUAGCAUGACACUAAGCUGUUGAGCUGUGCACUAAUAAAUCGUUAGUAGGUGUUGUCCAUUAGCUGAAUUGCUUACAGCAACAGCUUUGCACUAACACGUUCUACAUCUAGUGUCCUCAUAAAUUUGCACAGACCAAGGGGGGCCACUGCCCAGGUUAGCCUACACUCAGCGCCGCCAGUGACUCGGAGACAUUUAUGUUUUGUAGGAUAGGAUUUUAGAUGUUUUUCAUUUGUGUUUUUAGAUGUGGGCUUUCUGAAUCAGGAACUACGAUGCUUUGUGUCACAGCGAACCAACUAGUACUUGAUGUCCGUGUUACCCUUGACCUGUCAGGUUAAGUGUCAACUUGUCCUUUCAUGCAGUAGAUACCACUAAGGAGCACCAAGAUAUUCAUCUUUCACCUUUGGAUGAAACAUACUAUAGAAGCUGAUGAAUAGCAUCCUGGUUCAUAUCAUGUUCGUUCCCUUUCGAAGAAUAUCCAUCCAGUGAUUGUGUUUAUUGUACUCUGAUUUUAUUUAAAAUUGUUUUACAAGUUAUGAGAAAUAUUAUGAAUAUUAUGUAGGGAAGGAGAAAGCAAGAAAGUCCAACUACGCUGACCUUUCAAAGAGAUCUUUUGUUUCUUUUUUAUAAAUUUGAUGCCCCUUAUCCUUUUUGUACCGUAGCUUUUCAGAUAAACUGCAGAUGCUACAGCUAAAGAUUUGCUAGCUUGCAAUUGUGCUCUACCAGGAUAGAUGUUAUUCUAAAAAUAAUUGAAGUAUUGGCAGAACACAUCACUCUAAUAGAAUUUCUCUUUCUACAUAAAGAGAGAACUCCCAUGCAGAAAAAAAUAUAUUGUUGGCCUUCGAUAUUUCAGAAUGAAUAAGUUUUUUAGUGCCUACUCUUCCAUGGUACUUGAACUAUGCUGAUUGAAUGGAGAAUCCUUACUCGAAAGCAUAAGAUCAUGAGCAUUUUCUUAUACUGCAGCUUGGCUUGAAACAAGGAAUGAAGGCCAGUUCUCCAUCAAAUACUUGAGCUGAGAUUUGGCCACGUCACUUUUCAGGAAGUUGAAGAUAACUACCCUAAAAAUCUUCCAGACACGUGACGUACAGGUGCUUUUUUUGUUUCUGUGUUCUAUUGUACAAAAUGAUGUGGCAACAUAUGAUUUGUUGAAAAAGUGAAAGAAAACAAAUUGAAAAAUCUUCUAGAAGAUGUGUAGUCAGUCCCAAAAACUAUAAAAAAAGUGAUGGAAUUUGAAAAUGUUUCUUACUAUAAAUCAUUAUAUAAAUUUUACGUCUAACAAAUCUGGUUGGUUACUAUUUGUUCAUCUUACAUGUGGAUCUAUAUCUUUAUACGUGGAGAAACAUCGAUGUUUUGCAAAGAGCCGUAUGCCUCUGACCAAAUUUUUUCACCGUGUUUCUUACCCCAAACAAAACAAACUCUGACUACCCAACAUUUUUUUCUCACCAAAGGUUUUACUGACCUGCCCAUAUAGAUUUUUUUUGCAAAACCUCCCCAAAGAUGGCCAUGCAGCUCGCACUCCCAUAGUCUAGCCGGCAGCAUGAAUUUUUUUUCUCCCCAUACACGUCGGAUAACUUGGACACGGCCCGCUAAAAUACACCAGGCCCAACAAGACCCGCUAUUCAGUCAAAGAUUAUACAUACUUUGGGCUCUCUCGCUUCCUCAUAUUAUGAGGGUCCCGAUUUUUUUGUUUUAGGUAUUAUAGCAUUUUCGUUUUUAUUUGGCAAAUCUAUACCUAUCUAUAAAAAGGGAAAAUUUCAGUAUGCCAAUAUUUUUUCUGCCUGCCCUCUCCAUCUUCCGUUGCCCGGAAACCUCCGUCCGUGCCCUGUCCGUCUUCCGUUGCUAGGAAACCUCCAUCCGUUUAACGCUUGGUAAGAGAGGAAAGGAAAAUAGAAUGUUUUCUAGGGUUCCCAAUGCAAAAUCUUUUAUUACUGUCGUCGCCGGUCCCCAGAAGAAUCGCUAGGCGCCGCCGUCCGCUUGUAGAAAAUAAAAAAAAUAUUUUUUUUUCAAGGUUCCCAAUACAAAAUAUUCAAUAUCCUAUUAGUUUAAUUCGGCUGAAAAUUAAUAAAUACGUAAUAAUUUAUAAAAAAUGUAAAAAUUACAAAACAAAUUUUGUUCAGCUCCACAUAUGUAGAUCCAUGUAGUAAAUAAAAAAUAGAUGCAAAAUGUCUGUCCUAUUAAUUUGUUUUUCUUUUAUUCUUUAAUUCGGUUGAAAAUUGGUAAAUGCGUAAAAAUUCAUAGAAAUAUCUAAAAAUUACAAAACAAAUUUUGUUCACCUCCACAUAUGUAGAUCCAUAUAGUAAACAAAAAAUAUCACAAAUUUCAGUAUAUUUUUUGUUGGGGAUGCUUGCCUGUGCUUUUUAGUGUAAAAUUGAAAUUAUAGUUAUCUUGCUCCAAUUAUUAUAAAAAUUUUAUGGUAGCCUAUUUAAUGUGAUGCUUGAUUUGUGGUAAAAGUUUUAGCACAAUUCCUACAUAUCUCACUUAUUUACUAAUUUACCUAAAUUUAUGCUUGCUAAAUAGUUUACAAUCAAUUUAAGUAUGUAAAAAUAUAAAAAAGAUGUUUCCACUACCUUUGCACGAUGUGUUGUUACGUCAUAUGAACACUUCAUAAGCCUAUGUGUUCAUAAUAUACAUACAUUUAACUGAUAUAUCGUAUUUUAUAGGAAUCAUAAUCUAAAUAAAAAACUAAAGCUAGCAACAAACUUCUCAUGAUUUAUAUAAUACUGAAGUAUAUUAAGAGAUAAUACUAGAGUAGGAUAAGAUUUGCCUAAUUUCUAUAAUUAUUAUUAAAUAAAUAUGUCUCCAAGUUAUAUAUUAUUGUAAAUAUUAACUAUCUAAUACCAUAGAUGUCAUGGUUAUCAAUAAAAUAAAUUAUGGAAUUUAAAUUUUAUAAAAAGAAUAAAUAUAAAUAGAUAUGUAACAUUAUGUCAUCACUUUCUAUAGCUAUUUGAUGUUUCUCUCCCGUUGCAACGCACGGGCAUAUUUGCUAGUAUUAUUUAAUCAUGGACUAGUUCAAAAGAUUCAUCUCUCGAUUUACGCUAAAACUGUGCAAUUAGUUUUUAUUUUCGUAUAUAUUUAUGCUCCAUGUAUGUAUUAAAAAAUUUGAUUUGAUAGAGAAUCUUGAAAAAGUUUUUGGUUUUUGGAUGAACUAAACAAGGCCUUACAUAGAUUUACAUAGAUAGGAGAUCUCUUUUUUGAGAAAAGAUAUAUAGAAGAAGAUUUUUCUAGGGUUUUCGGCCCACCAAAUGUUCCAUGGCCCAUUACAGACUCAAAAGUAUUUCCUUUCCUCCGACCGUCCGACGCCAUUAUUACAAGGACAAGCCAGGAAGCCUGAUGAUGCCAUGAUUGGGACUAGAAUCAGUGUUUGGCUUUUCGCUACCUUCCAAAAGACUCGCUAGAAUUGAGGAGGCCCUGUACCAUGAUGCUCCACUCCAGCUCAGCUAUGCGCCAAGCAGGCCGGCACCCGGCAGUGGAGGUCCCGCGCUCGCUCAGCUCCAUUGUAGGCAUGCAUACCAUGGCAUCUUCAGCGAUAGACAGCGGCCGCAUGGCAAGGCGAUGCAGGCUCUGCAGCUGCACUACUGCUGCGUGCAGGGCUGCAGGCCCACAGGCCACAGGUCAACUGCAGAAGAUGGCGGGCGAUGGAUGGGUUGGCCUUGAGGCAGACUCACGCAGUCACAGAGUCAGGUGCUCGAGGGCCAACAAAUUAGAGAUAGUUCCCGAUUUUUUUUUUUUUUUUGGAUUUGACUAUGGUAGAUUUUCGUUUUAUUUUAUAAUUAGCGUUCAGUCAUAAAUUAAUUAGACUUAAAAAAUUCGCCUCGUAAUUACAAACUGUAUAAUUAGUUAUUUUUAAUUUAUAUUUAAUGCUUCGUCCAAAUAUUCGAUGUGAUGGAUAAAAAGAAAAUUUUUGGAAACUAAACAGUGAUCAAAUCAUAGUGUGCGGUAAAAUGUUGUAUCUGCAUGCAGUGGAACCGUGGAAGUCAAAAGACUGAAAGAAAACAUUCAUAAUUCAUGCAUGGAGCUGGCUUCGUAAAAACACACAUCUCUGUUAUGUUUUUAGAAUUCUCACACCUGUAUUUGUAUUGUCAAGCGGAUGAACGCCUCCAAUUUGGAUCUCAUCUCAUGCCAACGCUCGGAUGAUUUGGAUCUCAUCUCAUGCCAACGCUCGGAUGAUAGCUUUGUCGUGAUGACAACUAGAGACAAACUCCCUACAUUGUUGGAUUUAUUAUGGGUUAGACUCAUUUAUAUAUUGAAUAAUUCAAUAAACUCUGUGGUAUGUAAACCGUUUCAUACGGUGCGAGUUUUUGACUGAAUGAUUGAGGUAUGUGUCACGCACCGUGGUCGUGAUGUGGCGAAUGGAGGGACUUUUCAUUUUGUUAAUCAUGGUGAUUGAAUAUUGGGGUUACUUCUCACGGUGAUUGAAUAUGGGAGUUACUUCUCAUGGUGAUUGAAUAUGGGAGUUACUUCCAUUAUUCUAAUUGAUUAAAUGAAUUGUCAUUAUGUCCACUAAGGGAGUGGCGUGAGCAUCAUGGGCUCUUGGCUUUCUUGCAUGCGUGUGAGGCUUUUGGCCUCCAAGCCAUGAGGCUCCUUGCCUUUUGGCUUGCCCACCUCUUGCCUACAUAUAGCACAUACUACUACGUCAGUCAAGGGUGAAGAACAUAAUCCAGAGACACAAUUCCGCAGCAACGUAGACUUCUCUAUCUCCUCGAUCCGCGCGCACGGAGAAGGGAGAGGGCAGGUGCUUCCGAAGCCCUUGUCGUUCGUGAUCCUUGCACGGGGAGGACGACAAUUAGGUUUUUGGGGAGCGUCUACGCGACUGCCCAAUCCACCGCCGUUGUUCGUCUUCCUCAAGCUGGUUCGGACGGAUUUCUUCUUUCCGGUGGAAAGAUCGUCUUCAUCCUCUACAUCAUGGAAGUUGGUCAAGGAUCGGGAUCAUCGGAGCGCAUGGGAGGGUAUGAUCCAUUCAUCUUCCUGUUGUGUUUCGUCUUCCUGUUCAUACAUGUUGCAGUAGUGUGUUUGUUUUGUUGCGCUUACUAUCCUGGUUAUGUUUCAUAUGUUCUACCAUGUAUUUUCUGUUUUUAUUUUAUAUAUGUUUCUGGUAUAAGUUAUAUGUCAUGUUUGCUUGUUUCGCUGGUUAAGUUAAAACGUUUCAUAUGUUGUUGUCUCUAUGUUUCACUAGUGGUUCAGUCACGUCGUUUGAUAUACUGCUUCUCAUAUGUUUCAGUAGUUCUAUUUCAUCGUUUAACAUGCAGUCUCUUGUUUAUUGCUAUUUUAAGAUAUAUGUCUUGCCUUGUUAUUAUAUUUCAUAUAUUAUGCUUUUAUAUUUUUAAUAAUCACAUGUUCUACAUGUUCAUGGAUCACAUGUUCUAUAUUCCUAUGAACAUGUUUAAUAUCAUGAUUUCUAUAAUUAAUUAUAUUAUAUAUGUCAUCAUCAUAAUGUUGAUUUAUGGAAUUAAAAUGAUAUGGAAAUUGCCUAAAUAUCUAACAUUCCAAAAACCUAAUUAUAAUAGGCAUUUUUCUGUUAGAGUUUUUGCUGCUGCUAUGAAGCCUGAUUCUUUUGAUGGGAAAAACUUCUUGUUUUGGAAAGCUAAAAUGGAACUAUGGCUAACUGCAAUGUCAUGUUAUCAUGCUGCUGAGGGCAAACCUGCUAACUUACCUCCUGCGGAUGAGGCAAAGUUUAAGGUUGAUGACAACCUCUUUCGAGGUGCAGUAAUUAGCGCACUUGAUCCUAAGUUCUAGAAAAGCUAUAUUAUCCAUCCUACAGGGAAAGAGCUGUGGGAUGCAUUUGUGGGAAAGUUUGGAGUUACUGAUGCUGGUAGAGAGUUGUAUCUCAUGGAGCAGCUGUUUGACUACAAGAUGGUUGAGAACCGAUCUGUAGUGGAACAGGCUCAUGAGAUUCAGGCACUAGCUAAGGAAAUUGAACUGUUCUCUUGUCUUUUGCCCGACAAGUUUGUGGCUGGCGGUAUUAUCGCCAAGUUGCCACCUUCUUGGAAGGACUUUGACACCUCUCUCAAACACAAGAGGCAAGAGUUCAAUGUUGAGGAACUCAUUGGCACUCUAGAUGUUGAGGAGAGAGCUAGAGCAAAGGACAAUGGGAAAGGUGUUGAGACCUCAUCUGCCAAUGUGGUGCAGAAGAAAUCUUACAAGUGGAACAAGAAGAAGAUCUAGAAAAAGAAGGAGAACACUCCUAAACCCGUUCAAACCACACAGUUCAAGAAACAAAACAACAACAACAGGAAGAAAGGUGGCUGCUUUGUGUGUGGCAGUGAGGAUCAUUGGGCAAGUGAGUGCCCUGAUCCUAAGUUCAAACAGGAGAAGAAAGUUGUAAACAUGGUUACUACUGAAACUGGAGAUGGAACAUCUGGGUAUGGUAAUUCUUUACCUUUUGUUCUUUCAGUUUGUAAUUCACCUGAGUGGUGGAUGGACAGUGAUGCAAAUAUCCAUGUAUGUGCUGAUGUCUCUUUGUUUGCCACUUAUUAGGUCGGGAGGUCUGGCGCCUUGUUGAUGGGAAAUGGGUCGCGUGCUCAUGUUCUUGGUGUUGGUAUGGUCAUUCUGAAGUUUACUUUGGGAAAGACGGUGCCAUUGAAGAACGUACAACAUGUUCCCUCCAUCAAGAAAAAUCUUGUUAGUGCAUCUAUGCUAUGCCGAGAUGGCUAUAGAGUUGUUCUUGAAUCAAAUAAAUGUGUUGUGUCGAGAUAUGGUUCGUUUGUGGGUAAAGGAUAUGAUUGCGGAGGUUUGUUCCGCUUAUCGUUGCAUGAUGUUUGUAAUAAACUUGUGAAUUCUGUUGAUAUUUCUGAUGAGUCGGAUUUAUGGCAUUCACGGUUUUGUCAUGCAAGUUAUGGCUGUCUUAUGCGCUUAGCAAAUCUAAAUUUAAUUCCUAAAUUUAACUUGGUCAAAAAGUCUAAGUGCCAUGUAUGUGUUGAAUCAAAACAACCCCGCAAGCCUCACAAGGCUGCUGAGGCGAGGAGUUUGGCACCUCUUGAACUUGUUCAUUCUGAUCUGUGCGAAAUGAAUGGUAUUAUGACUAAAGGCGGUAAAAGAUACUUUAUCACAUUUAUAGAUGACUCUACUAGAUUUUGCUAUGUGUAUCUCUUAAAAACAAAGGAUGAAGCGCUCCAUUAUUUUAAGACCUAUAAAGCUGAAGUUGAAAAUCAACUAGAGAGGAAAAUAAAACAUUUAAGGUCUGAUAGAGGUGGAGAAUAUUUCUCAAAUGAUUUCGAUGAAUUUUGUGUGGAACAUGGUAUUAUUCAUGAGAGGACAUUGCCAUUCUCACCACAAUCCAAUGGGAUUGCUGAAAGGAAAAACCGCACUUUAACAGAGUUGGUGAAUGCCAUGUUAAAUACAGCGGGAUUAUCCAAGGAAUGGUUGGGUGAGGCAAUUUUGACCGCGUGUCAUGUCCUAAACAGAGUUCCUACUAAAAACAAAAAGAUCACACCAUUCGAGGAAUGGGAAAAGAAGAGAAUAAAUCUUUCAUAUUUACGCACUUGGGGUUGUUUGGCAAAGGUGAAUGUGCCAAUCAACAAGAAGCGUAAAUUAGGACCUAAAACUGUUGAUUGUAUUUUCCUUGGUUAUGCUUUCCACAGCGUUGGAUAUAGGUUCUUAAUUAUAAAAUCUGAUGUGCCUGAUAUGUAUGUUGAUACUAUCAUGGAAUCGAGAGACGCUACAUUUUUUGAGAAUGAGUUUCCCAUGAAAAAUACACCUAGUAAAAUAAGUCAUGAGACUAUAUACCCCAUGAGCAAGAAAUGUCUAUUCCUAUAGAUCAUGCUGAGGAGACUCACAUGCACAUCCAUGAGGAGGAUGACACUAUAGUCACUCGAAAGAGCAAGAGACAGAGGAUUGCAAAAUCCUUUGGUGAUGACUUUAUAGUGUACCUUGUGGAAGACACACCAACUACUAUUGUUGAGGCAUAUUCCUCUCCUGAUACCGACUUAUGGAAGGAGGUAGUAAGGAGUGAGAUGGAAUCUAUUAUGUCCAACAAAACAUGGGAGGUUGUUGACCGACCCUAUGGCUGUCAAUCUAUAGGCUGCAAAUGGAUCUUUAAGAAAAAGCUUAGGCCUGAUGGUACAAUUGAGAGGUACAAGGCAAGGCUGGUGGCCAAAGGAUAUACCCAGAAAGAGGGGGAAGAUUUCUUUGACACCUAUUUACCGGUCGCUCGAUUGACUACAAUUCGCACUUUGAUUGUCGUGGCAGCUUCAUACGGUCUUAUCAUUCAUCAGAUGGAUGUUAAGACGACUUUCCUUAAUGGAGAGUUAGAUGAGGAGAUCUAUAUGGAUCAGCCAGAAGGGUUCAUUGCAGAUGGUCAAGAAAGUAAGGUGUGUAGGCUGUUAAAGUCAUUAUAUGGCCUAAAGCAAGCAUCUAAGCAAUGACAUGAAAAGUUUGAUAGUACACUUAUAGCUGUUGGCUUUGUUGUGAAUGAAGCUGACACUUGUGUGAAUUAUCGAUAUGGUGGGGGUGAGGCUGUUAUGCUAUGCCUUUAUGUUGAUGACAUUUUGAUCUUUGGAUCUAAUCUCAAUGUGAUUGAGGAAGUAAAGAAACUUCUAUCGAGUAAUUUUGAUAUGAAAGAUUUGGGAGAAGCUGAUGUAAUUCUCAACAUCAAGCUUAUAAAGGAAGGUGAUGGUGGGGUAACUUUGUUAUAGUCCCACUAUGUGGAAAAUGUUCUAAGUCGCUUUGGGUUUAGUGACUGUGAUCCUGCACCUACUCCUUAUGACCCUAGUGUGCUAUUAAAGAAAAAUAAGAGAAUAGCAAGGGAUUAAUUGACAUACUCCCAGAUCAUUGGUUCACUAAUGUACCUUGCGAGUGCAACAAGGCCUGACAUCUCUUAUUGAAAGGAUCUAAUUGGCCUAGAGGGGGGUGAAUAGGCGUAUCUUAAAAACCUGAAACUCAAAAGCUCAAGUUGCGGAAGUUAAAUGCUUGCCGGUACUACCGACAGUUUGGGCCGGUACUACCGGUGUAAGACAUCCAGUACUACCGACACAACUGUUGGUACUACCGACACCCUAUGAGAUCUACGAAAUCAGAGUAGAUUGAGUUUUGAUUUCAGAUCUAAGAGUUACCCCACUCUCCAAGAUGUAGUAGAGGAUGAUGUUGAAGUUCCCUUGGCUCGGUUCUUCUCCAAAACAUAGAUCGGCCCUUGUUCACCUAUGAAAGGGAGUAGAGAGGAAGAACACGAAGAACACAAGAACAAGGGUAGUCGAUGCUACCACCACAGCAAGACAAGAUAUUUUUCCCGAGGUUCGGCAAUCCCCACGAUGGAGUUCCUACGUCUCCAUUGUUGAGGUGACCACGAAGGUCCGACCACUUAGGUCUCCUCCCUCAAGCAACCACACAGGUUAGCUCAAGAUUUCCACUAAGAAUCAAAGGGUUAUACAAACACUUCGGGGUGCCCUCACAAAUGAAUCAACACGGGCAACCACGAAGAACGCCUAGCCGGCUAGGGUUCCAAGAACCCAAGAGUAACAAAUGCAAACCAAACCAGCAAGACGAAGAAACCAAGUGCUCAAGUCACAAAUCGAAGCUCCCAACUCUCUAAUCUCACUUCUCUAGCUCGAAUCUCUCAAGGAGUGAAGUCUAGGAGCAAAGAGGGAGAGAGAGUGGGUGAGUCAAAGCUUGGAGACUAUUUUCUCAGAUCUAGAGUUGAAGGAAUGGGAGAGCUAACGGUCAGAAAUGAGGGAAGAGAUAUUAAUGCACAGGCCCAGAACAACUGCCGGUACUACCGGGGCAACCACCGGUACCACCGAUUACCUCAGAUCUAACGGUAAGAAGUCUCUAGGAUUUGCGAGAAAUAAGCCUACCGGUACCACCGGGCUUUUGUCGGUACUACCAACCAUUGCCGGUACCACCGGUGGAAGGCCGGUACCACCGGAAGUUCAAAUCUCUGCAACCAAAGUCAGCGCAGAUUUAGCCUGCCGGUACUACCGGCGUUUCACACCGGUACUACUGGUGCUGGCCGGUACCACCGACCCGAGCCCGGUACUACCGGUAGUUCAUUUUCUCGCAAAACUUAGGAGAAGGGCUGGCACUGCCGGUACCACCGGCCCUGAGGGUCGGUACUACCGGCUCACCCUAGCAAAGAAGAAAAAUUCCUAGUGGUUCGUGCGUGCAAGUGUGUCUCUCAAGCGCAAGAGCUAAGUUGACCUGAGCACUCUUAUCCUCAUCUUACCAACUCAAUUUGCAUCCCUCUUGAUAGUGCGGCAUUUCCUAUAACUCAAGCAAAGAAUAAAAACUUUGUAGCCACUUGAGUCGAAACACCGUUCAUCCAUUGGAAAUUUAGGGGUGCUAUAAUUCACCGAAUGUUUUCGUUCAAUUCCAUCAAUGGACUAACACGUGUAGAUUAUGCUUGAUAAACAUGUUAGUCCCUAAUUUGAUUGUCAUCAAUUAUCAAAACCCACAUCGGGGGCGAAUGCACUUACAAACUCUCCCUUUUUAGUAAUUGAUGAUAACCAACUUAGGCUUAUAAAGAUUGAAAGAAUAGAAGCUUUUGAAUUCCAAAAUUCAAGUUGAGCUCCCCCUCAAUGUAUGCAUUGGAUUCAAAAUUUCAAAUCUUGAUUAGAAUCAAGAUGGCAUACAUUAAGAACAAGCUCCCCCUAAAUUUUGCAAUCCGUGGGGUGCCUAAGUGUGUGUGAGAUAAUAAAGUGUGAUGCAUAUGACAAUAUAUAUCACAAAGAAUAAAAAGAAAGAACUUGAAUGGUUAUGCAAGAAAGAAAAGGACUUACAACUUAUCAUAACCAUUCAUAAACAACAUUGCAUCAGCACAAACCCAAAUUAGCUAACACAAGCAGGAUAUAAUAAUGAAGCAAAGGUGUUUAGCUUACAAUCAACCAUCACACACACAAAGUUUAAGUUUACCACAUGGUUCACAACACAAAAUAAUCCUAAUACCAAGCCUAAUACCACAUGAGAUAAGCCUAACACUCCCCCUUUGGCAUCAAAUGCCAAAAAGGGUAGGCUUCAUGAAGCUCCAAGGGGCAAAGGCAGUAGGUGAAACUACUCAACAUUAUCAUCAUCAUCAUCAUCAUCAAAGGCACCGGUUCACUGAAAACCCUGCUGCUGCUCAAACUCAGUGUCACACUACACCUCAUCAUCCUAUGCUGCACCAUUACCACUAGCAUCUGUUGCUAGCCCUUUUCCUUUUGCUUGGACUUAGCAUAUAUACAUCUGACAUUCUAGUCCAGGUGCUUGCUGUCUUGCUAGAAUGCAAAGCCAGUGACUUGCUCAAUGAUAUACAUGAGAUACGGAGCAUAGGGGAAGGACUAGUUGGAGGUCUAGGAACCCUCCUCAAUGUAAUGCCACAAGAGAUCUGUCACACUGAACCUCUUCUUAAGCCCAAAGCAAAUAGAGAUGGUUGGAGCAUGAUUCUGAACUGAAGUAGCAUCACCAACCUUUGGGUCAAUAGUAGCACGGAGCAAAUUGUUGAGCACAUAGAAAUAGGGCUUUAGACCUUCUGUCUUACCAUUUGCCUUUGUCGGAUCAACAUUGGGCUGCUUCAAUGAAAUCAGCCUUGCCCACACCAUUUGGAUAAUGACCAUAUAAGCUAGGAGCAUCACAAUCAUGGUGAUAAAACCCAAGAAGGUGGGAGAACUGGUGGUAAUCAUAGUGGUAGUGAAGGCCCUCAGUCAUCUAGUGAAGUAUCUUGUGCUCUACAUCAAUGUAAACUGUGUCCCAAAACUAACAAAUAACCUCUGUGUUCAUAAGUUGCAGUUGGUCAAAAACAAGCGAGCAGAAAUUCUAAAGGAGGUGAACCACAUAGUAUACUCAAACCAACUCAAAUUUGUCCAGAUUUCAUGAAGCCAUUACAUAACUAUGGACACAUUUGAGCUGUGAAAAAUAGAUUUUGAAAAGUUCACACAAUUUUUCACAAGAGUUUUUGCCUAUUCGAAUACACACAUGCACACACUAAGCAUAAUAUAAGCCCUAGAUGCACAAAGGUAAAGCAAAGAUCUAAUCAUGGAAUGAUAUACCUUUUGAUCAAUGGCCUUGUCGUCUUCAUCAAGAUCAAGAUGUCCGGUUGUUGGCAUUGGUGUCUUUAUGGGUUUGGCCUUGUCAAUGUCAAACUUUUUUAGCAUGUCGGUGGUGUACUUGGUUUGACUUAUGAACGUGCCGUCUUUGAGUUGCUUGAUUUGAAAUCCAAGAAAGUAUGUCAACUCCCCCAUCAUGGACAUCUCGAAUCUCUUGGUCAUGAUCCUACUAAAUUGCUCACUGAAAUCCGCAUUAGUACUACCAAAUAUAAUGUCAUCGACAUAUAUUUGGCAUAUAAAAAUAUCAUUAUUGACUUUGCGAGUAAAUAAAGUGGGAUCGGUUUUUCCAAUCUCAAACCCUUGUUUCAGUAGAAAAUCCUUGAGACAAUCAUACCAAGUUCUAGGGGCUUGCUUAAGCCCAUAGAGUGCCUUGUCAAGCUUGUAGACAUGAUCGGGAUGAUGUGGAUCUUCAAAACCCGGCGGUUGCUCCACAUACACGGUUUCGGAGAGGGGGGCAUCGAGGAAUGCACUUUUCAUGUCCAUUUGAAAUAACUUGAAAUCAUGGUGAGCAGCAAAGGCAAGUAAUAUAUGAAUAGAUUCAAGCCUAGCUACAGGUGCAUAGGUCUCCCCAAAAUCCAAACCUUUGAUUUGAGUGAAACCUUUGGCUACCAACCGUGCCUUGUUCCUUGUGACCAUGCCAUACUCAUCUACUUUGUUGCGGAAGACCCAUUUGGUACCUAACACAUUUUGCUUGGGUCUUUCCACCAAGGACUAGACUUUAUUCUUGGUGAAGUUGUUUAGCUCCUCUUGCAUGGCAAUCACCCCAUCUGGGUCCUUCAAAGCAUUCUUCACCCUGUUUGACAACAUCGAGGAGACAAAAGAGUAAUAUUCACAAAAACCAACUAAACGAGAGUGUGUUGUUACCCCUCGUUGUGUGUCUCCCAAAAUUCUAUCAAUGGGAAGAUCUCGUUGAAUGGAUUGAUGAACUCUUGGGUGAGGUACUGUUGUUCUUGUUUGAAUUGGACAGUCAUCUUCAUCUUCAUUAUCUUGGUUGAUUGGAGAAUCAAGAUCUUGAUUGUCUCGAUCACCACCUUGGUUGGGUCUUGAGCUUGUGGUGGAUCUUGACUAGCUUGUUCCCUUGAGUCAUGACCCCUUCUUGAGGUGGAAGCAUCAUCAUGGGCAUUGGUUGACCCAUGAUGCAAGUUUGGAUCAUGAGGAAUUUGCAUAUGUGCAUCAUCAUCUUCUUCAACGGGUUUCACUUCACCGGUAGCAAGCCUUUUUCAUCACUUGAUGAGAUGGUUCUUCUUCACCUAAAAUUUUAGCAUUGACUUCCUCCUUUUGAGAGCCGUCGCUUUCAUCAAAAGUCAUGUCUACCACUAUUUCAAUUUGACCGGUGGUCUCAUUGAAGACACGGUAGCCAUGUUCGUUAGUACCAUAACCAAGUAAGAAACCUUCAUCAACCUUUGGUGCAAACUUAGAGCUUUUGGAUUUAUUAUUAAGUAUGAAACACUUGCAUCCAAAAACUCUAAAGUAGUCCACCUUAGGCUUUUUACCGGUUAGAAGCUCGUAGGCUGUUUUCUUCCUCAACUUGUGGAGGUACAAGCGGUUGAUAGUUUGACAUGCCGUGUUGACGGCUUCCGCCCAAUAGUCUUCUUGUGAAAUCUAGUAUUCAUCCAACGUUGCUAUUAUGGCUUCAAUGAGUGUCAUGUUCUUCCUCUCCACAACACCAUUUUGUUGUGAAGUGUAUGGAACCGAGAAUUCAUGCUUGAUGCCUUCUUUAUCAAGGAAAGCUUCAAUGUUGGUGUUUCUAAACUCUCUCCUGUUGUCACUUCUCACUUUCUUGAUCUUCACUUCAAACUUACUUUGAGCUCUUCUUGCAAACUUCUUGAACAUCCCUUGGGUUUCACCUUUAUCUCUCAAAAAGAACACCCAAGUGAAGCGAGAAAAAUCAUCAACAAUUACAAAACCAUAUUUGUUACCUCCAAUACUUAUAUAAGCAUUGGGUCCGAAUAAGUCCAUGUGAAGUAACUCAAGUGGUAUUUGAUGUAGUCAUGAUGUUCUUAGUGGGAUGCUUGUCUCCAACUUGCUUUCUCGCUUGACAUGCACUGCAAAUUCUAUCUUUCUCAAAAGAAACAUUUGUUAGUCCUAGGAUGUAUCCACCUCUUUGAAGAUCGGCCAAGUUCCUCAUCCCAACAUGAGCUAGAUAUCGAUGCGAUAACCAGCCCAUGCUAGAUUUUGCCACUAAACAAGUCUUGGACCCCACUCUACUAGAUGAGAAAUCAACUAGAAAGAGCUUGCCCUUAAGUUGACCCGUAAAAGCAAUAGAGGAAUCCAAACUUCUAGAGACUUCCACACCCUUAUCCGUAAAGAGACAAUUGUAACCCUUCUCACAAAGUUGUGAGAUGGACAACAAAUUGUAUCCCAAUGAAUUCACAAGUAAUACAUUUGAAAUUGAAUUAUCAUUUGAGAUAGCAAUUUUACCCAAACCAAGGAUAUCUCCUUUACUAUUGUCACCAAAGACAAUCCUUUCACCUGCAACUUGAUUUGAUUGAAAGGAGGUGAACAUGUUCUUCUCUCCGGUCAUAUGAUUGGUGCAUCCAUUAUCAAGCACCCAUUUUGGUCCACCGGAGGAGUAUUCCUACAACACAAGAUUAAGCUUUUGUUUUAGGUCCCGAGAUGGGACCUAGGGGGUUAGAAAUAUAAGACUUGGGCACCCAAACACUCCUUAAGAUUUGUCUCUUCUUAAGGGCAUCCACAUACUUCACAACAAUCUUGCCAUCCUUGUCCCAACAACACAUGUAAUGACAAAUGUGAUUGCGUGAAAUAGGCACUUGUUGCUUGGACACCUCCACUUGCUUCUUCUUCAUGUUCUUGUUGUUUGCAAGUGGACUUGUAGGAGUAGCAACAUUGUUCACCUUAUCAAUAAGGUCAACAAGAGGCACACUCUUGUUGAACUUCACACAAGCCACCCCAUUUAUCAUGUUUCUUCCAUUGGCCUUAACAUUGUACCUAUUGUAACCGAGGCCAUCCUUGAUUAUGGGGAGCCUUGAUGCCUUGAACACAUUUGCCGGUUGCUUGUCCUUGCACUUGCAACCAAUCUUGACAAUUGUGUUUAAUCUUUGGAUCUCCUUGUCCUUCUUUGCUAGCUCAACAAGGUUAGUAACACAUGUGUUUAUAUCAACAUUUGAGCAUCUUUCACAACUUUUACUUGUUGAAGCUUUGGAAUCCUUGGAAAUGGUAGAAGUGCUAGUCCAAAGCUUGUCAUAGUUUAGUUCAAGCUCAUGAUAUUUAGUUGUCAAGCUUGUAAGGCUUUCUUGAGCCAAACUAUGAUCAUUCUUUAGGCUAGCCAAAGAGUCAUUGAGUGAAGAAUGUCUCUUAGAUAAAUGCUCAUUAGCAUCUUUGGCUAAAGACAAUUCUACACUCAACUUAUCAGCCCUCUCCUUUUCCUUGGAGAGACAUGCUUCAAGUCCUUGGUUCUUCUCCCUUUCCUCUAGGAGCAAUUCCCCUUGCGACUCAAUGCAUGACUCAAGCUUAUCUUUAGCAUAUAUUAGCUUUAGGAUUUUGGUUGCAGCAGCUUUACCAUAUUUCUUAAUGAGAUUUGAUGCAUAGUUUUCAUCAUCUUCAUCAUCACUAUCAUAUUUACUAGUGGUGUGAGUGGGAGAGUCAAAUUUUACCUUAUCUCCUCUUGCCAUAAGGCAUGUAGGAGUGUCAUGGUCGUCGUCGGAGAGGUUGGCAAAGAGUCUAGGUGAUGAAGAAGUGCGGGUGAAGAGAGAGGUCGAUGACGCAUUGUUGGUGAAGAUGUUUGUUGAGGAAGAUGCCUCUUGUAUGGCGGGGGCAACCAUACUCUUCUUCUUAUUGUCAUUGUCAUCAUCACUGUCACUGUCAGAUUGCCAUUCUUGACCUAGAUGUGCUUCACCUCUCUUCUUAUCCUUGUACUUCUUGUCACCUUGUUUGUUGUAUCUUGACCUCUCCUCUUUGUUAGGACAAUCGGCCGCAAGAUGGCCGGUGUCACCACACUCAUAGCAAAACCUCUUCUUGUAUGGCUUGUUUCCUCCAUAUCUCCUUAUAUUAUCUUUCUUCAUUCUCAAGUAAUUCUUGUAGUUUCCCACUAGCAUAGCUUGCUCUUUAUCAAGAUCAUCGUCAUCAUUAUGCUUAUGCUCACAACACCCUUUGUUGCAGUGACUUGACUCACUUCCAUGUGAUGCCGUGAGUGCAAUGCUCUUUCUUUGAUUGAUUGUCUCCUUAGCUUCAUCAUCCAAGACUUCAUGAUGCAUCAAUUUUGCAAGCAUCUCUUGAGGUGUGAUCGUGUGGUAAUUUUCUUUCUCCAUAAUGACGGAGGCAAGCAUAUUGUUCUUUUGUCUAUACACCCUACAUAUCUUUCUUGCUGCAGAGUUGUCAUCCCAUGUUGUUGCUCCAAGUGCUCUAAUUUGGUUGAUCAAGGACAUGAAUCUAUCGAACAUGGCCUUUGUUGUUUCUCCCUCAAUCAUGCAAAAAUUCUCAAUCUUACUUUGUAAGAGUUCAAUGUUUCCAACUCUUACACUUUUAUCUCCUUCAAAUGACACCUUCAAAGUGUCCCAGAUUUGCUUUGCAUUCACCAUACCAUUUACUUUGUUGUUGUCCUCCGGAGUGAGGCAUUGCAAGAUCAAGGUGGCUGCCAUUGCAUUUAGGUGAAAGUCUCUCUCAUCUUCAAGUGUCCACUCAUUUGGAUCUUGUGGCGGAUUUACUCCAAUGUCCACCACUUCCCAACAUCUUCCGGCUAUGAGAUGUAGCUUCAUUCUAUGAGCCCAAUCGGUGUACCUUACACCAUCAAAUGGAGGUGGUUUUCUAGGGUUGAUCAUUGACAAGGUUGGAUUCUUGCUUGAACCACCACAGUCAAAGAUAGCUUUGUUGUAGUUCUUUGAUGUUUUGCUACUAUCUUCAUUUUCAUCUUUGCUACCCGAUUCAUGAUUCUUUUUGCCUAGGAGCUCUCUCAUCUUGUCAAGCUCUGCUUGCAUCUCCUACAUUUGCUCUUGUUGCUGCAGCUGCAAGGAUGUAGUGAUCUGUGCUGUGAUUUGAUCAACAAUUUGCUUUUAUGCUACUGGAUCCAUCUUGGCCAAUGUUGCUCCUCACGCGGUGAAGCGUUUGUACGAGGAACCUUGCUCUGAUACUAAUUGAAAGGAUCUAAUUGGCCUAGAGGGAGGGUGAAUAGGCGUAUCUUAAAAACCUGAAACUCAAAAGCUCAAGUUGCAGAAGUUAAAUGCCUGCCGGUACUACCGACAGAUUGGGCCGGUACUACCGGUGUAAGACAACUAGUACUACCGACGCAACUGUUGGUACUACCGACGCCCUAUGAGAGCUAUGAAAUCAGAGUAGAUUGAGUUUUGAUUUCAGAUCUAAGAGUUACCCCACUCUCCAAGAUGUAGUAGAGGAUGAUGUUGAAGUUCCCUUGGCUCGGUUCUUCUCCAAAACGUAGAUCGGCCCUUGUUCACCUAUGAAAGGGAGUAGAGAGGAAGAACACGAAGAACACAAGAACAGGGGUAGUCGAUGCUACCACCACAGCAAGACAAGAUAUUUUUCCCGAGGUUCGGCAAUCCCCACGAAGGAGUUCCUACGUCCCCGUUGUUGAGGUGACCACGAAGGUGCGACCACAUAGGUCUCCUCCCUCAAGCAACCACACAGGUUAGCUCAAGAUUUCCACUAAGAAUCAAAGGGUUAUACAAACACUUCGGGGUGCCCUCACAAAUGAAUCAACACGGGCAACCACGAAGAAUGCCUAGCCGGCUAGGGUUCGAAGAACCCAAGAGUAACAAAUGCAAACCAAACUGGCAACACGAAGAAACCAAGUGCUCAAGUCACAAAUCGAAGCUCCCAACUCUCUAAUCUCACUUCUCUAGCUCGAAUCUCUCAAGGAGUGAAGUCUAGGAGCAAAGAGGGAGAGAGAGUGGGUGAGUCAAAGCUUGGAAACUAUUUUCUCAGAUCUAUAGUUGAAGGAAUGGGAGAGCUAAUGGUCAGAAAUGCGGGAAGAGCUAUUUAUACACAGGCCCUAAACAACUGUCGGUACUACUGGGGCAACCACCGGUACCACCGGCUACCUCAGAUCUAACGGUAAGAAGUCUCUAGGAUUUGCGAGAAAUAAGCCUACCAGUACCACCGGGCUUUUGUCGGUACUACCGACCAUUGCCGGUACCACCGGUGGAAGGCCGGUACCACCGGCAGUUCAAAUCUCUGCAACCAAAGUCAGCGCAGAUUUGGCCUGCCGGUACUACCGGCGUUUCACACCGGUACUACUGGUGCUGGCCGGUACCACCGGCCCGAGCCCGGUACUACCGGUAGUUCAUUUUCUCGCAAAACUCAGGAGAAGGGCUGGCACUGCCGGUACCACCGACCCUGAGGGUCGGUACUACCGGCUCACCCUGGCAAAGAAGAAAAAUUCCUAGUGGUUCGUGCGUGCAAGUGUGUCUCUCAAGCGCAAGAGCUAAGUUGACCUGAGCACUCUUAUCCUCAUCUUACCAACUCAAUUUGCAUCCCUCUUGAUAGUGCGACAUUUCCUAUAACUCAAGCAAAGAAUAAAACUUUGUAGCCACUUGAGUCGAAACAUCGUUCAUCCAUUGGAAAUUUAGGGGUGCUAUAAUUCACUGAAUGUUUUCGUUCAAUUCCAUCAAUGGACUAACACCUGUAGAUUAUGCUCGAUAAACAUGUUAGUCCCUAAUUUGAUUGUCAUCAAUUAUCAAAACCCACAUCGGGGGCGAAUGCACUUACACUUAUGCAGUGAGCAAGCUAAGUCGGUUUGUAUCAAACCCGGGGGUUGAUCAUUGGCGUGCUCUUGAGAGAGUAUUGCGUUAUCUUAAAGGUACUAUGACCUGCGGUAUUCGUUAUACCGGACAACCCAGAGUGCUAGAAGGCUAUUGUGAUGCCAACUGGAUCUCUGAUGCUGAUGAGCUUUAUGCCACGAGCGGAUAUGUGUUCCUGCUUGGAGGUGGCGCUGUUUCCUGGAAGUCUUGCAAGCAGACUAUCUUAACGAAGUCAACAAUGGAAGCAAAACUCACUGCAUUGGACACUGCUGGGUCUGAGGCUGAGUGGCUACGUGAUUUCCUUUUGGAUUUACCGGUAGUUGAAAAACCGAUACCGGCUAUCUCCUUGAACUGUGAUAACCAGACUGUGAUUACAAAGGUUAAUAGUUCAAGGAAUAACAUGAAGUCCACAAGGCAUGUUAAGAGAAGAUUAAAAUCUAUCAGAAAAUUGAAAACCUCCGAAGUUAUAACGGUGGACUAUGUCUAUACGUCGAAUAAUCUGGCAGAUCAAUUCACCAAGGGUCUAUCACGCAAUGUGAUAGAAGGUGCAUCGAGAGAGAUGGGUAUGAGACCCACGUGAAAUCUACUGUAGUGGUAACCUGCUCUAUGUGAUCGGAGAUCCCGUGAAGUAGAGUGGUGAAACAAGCUAUGAGUAGAUUGAGAGGAAAGAUCCCUUUCUUGACUCAUCUCUGAUGCUCAUCUUUCCUAUCUGUAAGGCAGGUUGGUUUUUAACUUAUUAUUUCCAAAGGUGAGAUGUUGUCCUACAGAACAUCUAUGGAGGAGUACACCUAUAUGAGUUAGACUGCUAGUCACGGUCUAUGGGGCUUGGGUAAUCCCUAAAUACUCAUGAAAGGCACAGAAGUGUGACUUAUAUGCUUCAAACAGCGGGGAUGCCUUAUGCAGCCUAGUAUCAGCAAAGGACUUGAGUGAAUCUCAUCUCGCACAAAACUGUCAAUUCAAGGCUUAGUCCAUUGUUCAGUUGUGACUAGGUGAAACUCUUGUUCUAGGUGGAUGUUCAACUUAACAGUCUCCAUCGAAACACUGGUAUAUCAAAGAAUUGUGAUUCUGGAACAACAUAGUUACAAACCCUAGAGUUUGGUGGGGAUUGUUGGAUUUAUUAUGGGUUAGACCCGUUUAUAUAUUCAAUAAUUCAAUAAACUCUAUGGUAUGUAAACCGUUUUAUACGGUACGAGUUUUUGGCUGAACGAUAUAUUGAGGUAUGUGUCACGCACUAUGGUCGUGAUGUGACGAAUGGAGGGACUUUUUAUUUUGUUAAUCAUGGUGAUUGAAUAUGGGAGUUACUUCUCAUGGUGAUUGAAUAUGGGAGUUACUUCCAUUAUUCUAAUUGAUUAAAAGAAUUGUCAUUAUCUCCACUAAGGGAGUGGCGUGAGCAUCAUGGGCUCUUGGCUUUCUUGCAUGCGUGUGAGGCUUUUGGCCUCCAAGCCAUGAGGCUCCUUGCCUUUUGGCUUGCCCACCUCUUGCCUAUAUAUAGCACAUACUACUACGUCAGUCAAGGGUGAAGAACACAAUCCAGAGACACAAUUCCGCAGCAACGUAGGCUUCUCCAUCUCCUCGAUCCGCGCGCACGGAGAAGGGAGAGGGCAGGUGCCUUCGAAGCCCUUGUCGUUCGUGAUCCUUGCACGGGGAGGACGGCAAUUAGGUUUUUGGGAAGCGUCUACGCGACUACCCAAUCCACCGCCGCUGUUGAAAGCCCUAGUUUGGUUUUGGAUAAUUGAUGAAACCCUAGUACUAACCUCUAUACUAAGUGUGUGUAGACUUAAUAAGGUUGGUACAUGCCAUGUGAUGGAGCAAGAGAUGAUCAUGGUGAUGAUGGUGAUGACCACAAGAUGAUCAAGUGCUCAACUUUGAAAAGAAGAAAGAGAAAAACAAAAACCCUAUGGAGAUCAAGGCAAAGGUAUUGCUUAGGGUUUUGGUUUUGGUGAUCAAGACACCAUAGAGGGUGUGAUCACAUUUAGGAUAGAUAGCCGUACUAUAAAGAGGGGAAUUCUUUGGCUAAGCGGUUAUCAAGUGCCACUAGGUGUCAUUGUUCAUGUGCAUGCAUUUAGAACCUAGUGAGCUAACUUAACUCCUUCGAAGAAAAUGUUUGUGAAAAAGCUAACACACGUGCACUUGUUGGUUUAAACGUUGUGGUGUUGGCACACUUUGAGAAGGAGGUGGAGUUUGAAAGGUAGAGAGAGGAUUCGGCGCUUUUCGAGAAAAUUAAGUGCAUAUUUUCUAUUGCGCUGGUGGGAAAUUUGGAGAAGUCACGGGAGUGUUUCUCGCUGAGGAACACUCACCGGACGCUGACUCAGAGGCACCGGACGCUGUGUCUGAGCGUCCGGUGUGCAGGCAGUGCCUAGCCCAGCUAGGGUAAGGCACCGGACGAUAGGCACCGGACGCUGGCUUGAGCGUCCGGUGGUUAGCGUCCGGUGCGUGGGCGUUUUGCGACCCUCUCUGCGCAUCGGUCCGGUGAGCACCGGACGCUGAGGGUGCGUCCGGUGGCUUGCGUCCGGUGACCCUACGAGUUUGCGGAACUCUCUGCGCAUGAGUCCGGUGUGCACCGGACGCGUCCGGUGCCAACCUGCUCAGCGUCCGGUGCUCUGCAGGUUACCGUUAGACUCUGACACGCGGCUGACUUUGGAGCACCGGAUGCAGGUGUUGAGCGUCCGGUGGCCCUUUAAGAGCGUCCGGUGACCCCGUAUUUCGCCCAGUGAAAGAGCCAACAGCUCUAUUUGUUUGAGGGGCUAUAAAUACGUGUUUGGCUGGCUUGGGGCUUACACUCUUGGCAUUCUAGCAUACUUGACUUCCUUGUGAGCCUAAGCAAACACCUCCCACUCAUCUCCUUCAUAGAUUAUACAUCUUUGUGAGAUUAGGAGUGAUUCCAAGUGCAUUUGCUUGAGUGAUUGCAUCUAGUGGCACUUGGGGAUCGUUCUAGCUGCGGUUUUCUUGUUACUCUUGGUGGUUGCCGCCACCUAGACGGCUUGGAGCAGCGGAGGAGGAUUGGCACGAGUUGGUGACUGUUCGUAGCCAUCUCCCGGAGAUUGUGAGGGGUCUUGUACCUUCCCCGGCGGAGAGCCGAAAGGUAACUCUAGUGGAUUGCUCGUGUCAUUGAGCUACCUCACUUGUGGGUAGGUUCUUGUGGUGUCCUAGCGAGGACGAGGUUCGUGCUACACCUCUUAGCCACCGAACCACCAAGUGUUGGUCGACACAACGGGGACGUAGCGUGCCGGCAAGCAUGUGAACCUCGGGAGAAAAAUCGGUGUUUCAAUUGUGUUUGAUUGACAUUCUCCCGGUGCUUGAUUGUUUAUAUUGGUGAUUGGUUCAUCCCCUACUCGAUGGUAUAAUUAUCUCAUCCACUCUUUUACAUUCCCGCAAACUAGAGUAGCGUACUUACUUGUGUAGAAACUUUAGGUAGCUUUCUAGUAUAAGUAGUGACAUAGCUCUUGCAUGUCUAGUGAUUAUAUCAACUAGAAUUGUUGGAUAGGUGGCUUGCAAACACCCCAUUAGAGCUAGAGCAAAAAGCUUUGCUUUGUUAUUUACUAACCUCUUGCUCUAGUGAGUUUGUAGAAUUUUUAAAUAGGCUAUUCACCCCCCCUCUAGCCAUAUUAGGACCUUUCAGCUGUUCGUCUUCCUCAAGCUGGUUCGGGCGGAUUUCUUCUUUCCGGUGGAAAGAUCGUCUUCAUCCUCUACAUCAUGGAAGAUAUAUUAUGCUUUUAUAUUUUUAAUAAUCACAUGUUCUACAUGUUCAUGGAUCACAUGUUCUAUAUUCCUAUGAACAUGUUUAAUAUCAUGAUUUCUAUGAUUAAUUAUAUUAUAUAUGUCAUCAUCAUAAUGUUGAUUUAUGGAAUUAAAAUGAUAUGGAAAUUGCCUAAAUAUCUAACAUACAUCGCUGGAUAAGUCAAUUUUCCUACAGUUUGUCUUUUAUAGAACUCGUAGUAAAGAUUUAUAACACUAAAUUAGUAUCAUUAGAUACAUUAUAAAAUAUAUGAUGCAUCCAAAAAUAUUAAGUGUCAUCAUGCAGGUUGACAUGAUUGUUUAUGUGAUUGUAGUAGCUAAUCAUUGAGUCUAGCUAGGAUCUAUAAUCCCUUUUUAGUAAAAUAAUAGACAACAAAAGAUUAAAGAAGCACUAGAAUUAAAAUUUAACACGUGGAUUAAAUAUUGAAUUAAUAAGAACAAAAAAUGUAAUAAGAGUUGAUAUAAGUUAAACUAUGUUUCUAACUAAUUACAUCUUAAAAUCUAUGAAGUUGCUAUGCAAAGGAUGAAAACAUAUAUAAGUAACUAGAAAAAGUUACUAGAAGGGUAGAGUUUAUAGAGUAUAUAAUAGUAAUUGGAAAAGUUAAUAUUGUCGGUGUUUUUCCCCCGGGGGGGGGGGGUCGCACCAACAAGUAAAUUUGUAUGCGUGCUCCCUUUCCCGGAUGGUGAUGCAAGAAGACACAGAGAUUUAUCCUGGUUCGGGCAAGAGAAGGCCCUACGUCCAGCGAGGGGGAGAGAGUUUGUAUUAUCUUGCACCUAAGCGCUCGUACAGGGGUGAAUACAAGCGUGGUAUGAAGUGGGGAGCUCUACGGCGUAUGAGCGUGAUCUUGUCCAUUCUAUUCCUGAGUCCCUCCUUUUAUAGUUCCAAGGAGAGACCCAGGGUACAUGUAUAGGCGUCAGAAUAGGAGUUGAUAGCAGCAUGGAGCGCUGACCUACUCGAGGCUUCCGUACCGGCGUGGCCUCGAGCCGUCCCGUCUUGGUAGCCUUGCGAUGAUUACGUGUGCCCUGUUAUCCUGCUCUGCGCCCCGUCUUGGAUUGGUUUACCGGAUGUACGCUCGUACGACCCGACGGCAAACCCGGCGGAGCGGUUGGGAUGUAGUCAGUCGACGCCCAAUUCGUCCCCUAGAAGGAUCCUUGUCUGGUCGAGGUUCGGAUGCCGUACAUUGUGCUGAUAUCUGGAGCGCUGACUUCGGAUGUCUCGAGGGGGUCCCGACUAGACGUUCCAUCCUCGUUUCCCACGUUCUGACACGUCCAGGGUCGUCUGGUGGGAAGGCUGCAAAAAGAACGAUGGGACAGAUGCUUGUUCCCUUAUCACGUCUCCCGUGACCCGUGUGUUAGGUGGGGAAGCGUCAGAUGCAUUAAAUGCCCUGGCUCUCGUGCGCGCGUCAGGCGGCGGACAGUGUCCUUGCGCUCGACGCCUCUUGAUUCGCUCGAGCCCGCUUCCGUAUUCGACGGAAGCUGGCGCUCGAGCCCAGAUCGAUUCGCUCGACGCUACUUCCGUCUUCGAGGCCGCGACCGUCGAUGGUUGCACGUAUGUAUGUACGGAUGGUGUCGUUACAUGUAUUGGUGAGGGUACCCCUUGUUGAUACCCUCGACAGUAGCCCCCGAGUCUCCAUUUGAGCGCUGGCGCUCGAGUGGAGACUUUUGUUUUUACAGUCGAGGUUCCGUGGGGGCGCGCGAGCGACCCCGCGGGGGUAGCCCCCGAGCCCUCGAGGGAGUAUUUAACUCCUUCGAGGGUUAUUUUGCCCAAUUUGCAGAGACGCUGUCGACGCCAGUGGUGGAAGGUUCUGAUCGGCUUUGCCUUGCGAGGAGGUUUCGACGUACUCUCGAUAGAGCGAGCGUCUUCCACUCCAGAUCGAGUUCCUAGCGGGUAGUCCAAGUGAGAACCUGUGCCCCUUUCGAGGGGGUCAGCUGUAGCCCGGAGGCGUUCUCAUAAAGCUGGGUCGACGUGGUCGGGGAUACCGGUCUCAUUCGAUAGAGUCCAGCGGCUCGAUGCCUCCCGUCAUGGGGAUUCCUCUCGACUGUCUCGACCCUGCCUUGGACAUCGCCAGCGAGUUUUCGAGGCAGGCCUCGAUUUUCGACCACUCGCUGGGGACCCCUGACUCUUGGUGCUCGAGAUCGGCUGUCGAACCCAUUCGACGGGCCAGCCAUCGACCUCUCGAGACUAUUGUGGGUACGCUCCUUGGCUUACAAGGGAAGGAAGUGGUCGUGACGGUUCGCCUUUCUGCCCGUUGGGCGCGUCUUUUUAGGCGGGUGUCGUUACGGCGUGGAAUUCGGAACGCCCGGCCUGUGAAAGGGGAAAGACUGUUAGGUGGCGUAUUAAAUGGGGGGACGUUACCUCAUUUCUCGGAUCUGUCCGUUGGCGAUUUUUGGCUUAUAAAUACUCCGCGGCACCGCCGUCGUUCUCUCUUCCGCCUCCCAUCUUUGCUCUUGCUCUAGCCUCCUUGCCGUCCUAGCUCUCUCGCCGUCUUUCGCGCACAGGCCUCCUCGUGCAGUAGCGGAUUCGCCGCCCUUCCGUCCGAGAUGCCUGUAAGACUCAUUGCCGCCGACGACUGGCGCCCGUCGUCGAUGACGGAGCGCCGGCUGCUAGAUCUUGAGAAAGAGGGAUUGCUGCGCCGCCGCACCUCACUAUCGUCGCCGGAGUGGAUCGCGCCGCCGGCGAGUCACAGGGAGCCCCAACCGCCUGCGGGUUACGUGGUGUCGUUUGCCAAGUUCCACCGCCACGGCCUGGGUGCUCCCCGAGUCGCUUCAUGCGGGCCCUCUGCUUCCACUACGGGGUGGAGCUCCAGCACUUCUCCCCGAACGCCAUCACCGUCGCGGUGGUCUUUGCCGCCGUGUGUGAGGGCUACUUGGGGAUGAUGCCGCACUGGGAGCUGUGGCUCCAUCUCUACAGGGGCGAGCUCUUCAACGCCCCCACUGGGACCACCGGCGUGAGGAAACCGGUGCGGGCGGGUUGCCUCAAUCUCGUGCUGAAGACGGGGAAGUCGGAGAGGCCGCGCGAGUACAUCCCGGUGGGACUGUCGACCAACCACGCCGGUUGGGACUCCCAAUGGUUCUACCUGAGGAACGACGACGACCUACUGCCCGCCUAUACCGGGCGCUUGAUCACGGAGCGACCGGAGAAUUGGACGUACGGCGUCGUCCAAGUUCACCAAUCUCGACUCGACCCCCUCCUCGACGUCAUGAAGAAGCUGUGUUCGGAGGGCUUGACCACCGCCCUCGUUCUCUCGGCCGUUCAUCAUCGGAGAGUUCUCCCUUUGAUGUCUCGGCCGUUGAGGAUGGACGAGAUGGGCCCCGGCGUUUCAUCUCGGGACCUCGAGGCGUGCCGGAUGUCAAACGAAGCUCCGGCGGAUGACGAAGUCGCAGCCCGAGUCAGGGCUGCAAUUGUCGGCGAUUUUCAGCCGGAGCAUGUUAACGGCUUCCCCAUGAGGCCAGACGCCGGCUCGAUAGAUCUGGUAUGUUUUCUUCUUGCGUGCAACCUCGAUUCCGGGUUCCUUUUCUUCCCCUCUCCCUUUCUUUUCUAAGUCUGCCUUUAUUUUGACAGGGACGGAUCGACGUCCGGUCCUCGAGGCCUCCGGUAAAGGAGGACGAGGCCCACCGUGAUAAACGGCGCCAAUCUGCCGAAAAGCUAAAGUCCGCCAAGGACUCUGCCAAGAAGGGGGAGAAGAAGAGGAACCUCGACCGUCAAGCGUUAGAGGCGCGUCGGGCCAAAUCCAGGCAGAGGGGGGAGCCUGAGGAAGAAUCCCCCAAUGAUGACGAUGACGACGACGACGACAG